GGGUUUGCGGUGGACCAGGUGCACGGCAGCGGUUCACGGGAACAGCGACGACGAUGACGUCAGCGAUGACGGCAGCGAUGACGUCAGCGAUGACGGCAGUGAUGACGUCAGCACCGGCGGCGGCUCGGGCGCGCAUGCUCGCCGGCGAACGACGGCGCGGCGACGCGAACGGAGGGCACCAACGGGUAGAGGGCGACGCGGCGAACUCACCGGUGACCAAAACCACGGCGGAAGAGCAACGGACGGCGCCGGCGACGAGGAAGAAGCGGCGGCGGAGAUCGGGUCGACGGCGGCGACGGUGCUCCGGCGGUCUUCGGCGGCGGCGAAGGAGCGGACGAGGACGGCGGCGACUUGGCGACCACGAUGGCGGUCUUCCCGAACGACGGUGACGACUGGAACGACGGCGAAGGACGACUGGAGCGGCGGCGACGACGGCGGCGCAAAAGCUCACGAGGCUAGGGCGCUACACACGACGGCGGGCGAAGGCGAGAGAGGCGGCGGGUAGAGGAGACACCGGGGGUGCUUUUAAAGGGGCAAGGAGGCGGCGGCGGAGGCCCACGGCUGCCGGCGAUGAGAAGGAAAGGUCGGGGUUCGGAGGAAAGAGGCCGAUCCGAAUCGAACUCGAAUCCACGAAUUUCCAAACGAUUUUAGCCGACGAUUCCAAAAGAGAAAAGGAAGAGGAGAUCGAGAAGAUCAUUUCUCCUCUAAAGAUUUCACCGGAGAAGGAAAGACGCGGCCGAAUUUGGAAGGAGACGGCGGCGGCUUGCGCUAGGGUUUCGGGCGGCGGCGGCGGCGCGAGGAGGACGACGGGUCCGACAAGCGGGGCCCACCUGUCAGCGACAGAGAGAGAAGAGAGCGGCGGCUCGGCGGACUGGGCCGGACUGGGCCGAGGGAAGAGAGAGAGAGGGGGUUUUGGGCCGGCUUUCGGCCCAAAGCCAAAACAGACUUUUUAAAAACCUUUUUCAAUUUAAAUUAUUCAUGAAAUGCAAUUCCAUUUAUUAAAAAUACUUCCUUAGCUCAAAUAAAUCCCAGAAAAAUCUAGGAAUUAUAGAAUUAAGCAAAGUAUUUAACAAAAUUUUAUCUAGCCCAAUUUUAUAUUGAGAUUUAACAAAUUAAAAUUAGAUCUUCUCUUUUAGGCUUUUAAAAUCAUUUCUAAUAAUUCCUUUUAAACAACAAUUUAUAAUUUAAGGAUUUUAAACAAGAAAAGCACUUAACAAUUAUAAUUAGAUCAUUAAUGAUCAAAUAAUUACUGAACUGUUCUUUGUAUCGUUUAGGAAUUGAGCUCUGAAAAAUCCGAGAAAAUUUCAGAGAGUUGACUUAAUCAUGGAGAAUUUAAUAAAAAUUAAAUCCAUCCAUGCUUUAUAUUUAGGAAAUUUUAUUUCCCACAUUUAACUUCACUUGUAAAUUAAAGAACAUUUAAUAUAAAUUCUAUUAAUAAUUUAUUAAAUAAUUUAUAAAUCCUGAAACAAAAAUUAGGAUGUGACACCGUACCACCUCUCCCCGUCGUCCUCGUCUCUCUCCUGUGCCGCCGGCCACCUCCAGCCGCCUCUGCCGCCUCGCCCGUGUGCCGGCCGGCCGUGCCGUAGCCAUCCUCAGCGUCGCAGCCGCCUCCUGUCCUCCGGCUUGCCUCUGUUUCUUGCGGUGACUGCCGGAGGCGCGUCCUCGUCGACGUCCAGUGGAGUUGCCGCCACUGCACCCCUCCAGCCGCCUCUGCUGCCGCGCCUUAGCGUCGGUCGGCCGUGUCGUCGCCUUCCUCAGCUCCGUGGCGUCGUCCUCCUCCCUGGCCUCACCAUCUCCUCGCUCGAAGCUCGCUGGAGUGGUGUCCUCGCCGGCGGGUAGUACCUCCCAUCCUCCUGGCCAGCUUCUGUUCCUUGUCGGUGCGCCGGCCGACGUCGUCGCCAUCACCUUCGGUAUCACAGCGGCAACGUCGUCCUCGGCAUCGCCUCCCCUUCGGCCGAACCAGCCGGCGUUCGUCGUCGCCUCCUCGCCGGUUCCCAUUGUCGUCCUCUCAUUGUUCCCGGUCGUCGUGGUGUUCGUCCCUCCACCAAGCCGAUCGCGUUCGUCGUCCGCGUCCGUCAAGUGAGCCGCUGCAGCCCUGUCGUCGCUUCGUCCUCGGCUCCGCGUCAUCACGCCUUGAGCCGGCCUCAUCUCGCCUUCGUCCCAGGAUCGCCGCCGAAGUCGUUCCCUCGCCGUUCGUCUCCGUCGUCCCCGAGCCGUCUCCGCCGCGCCCGUUUGUUGUCGUCGUUCCCAUGCCUCGUUGCGUGGUGGUAAGGGUCCAUCCUCUCGCUGCCCCCGUCCUCGUCCUUUCGGUGUCGCCCGUGCCCGUUGUGCGGUUGUUGACCCCGGUACCCGUGUACUGGUGUCGGUAGUCGUUUGUGUGUGCGUGUGGUGACCGUGUUAGUGUGCUCGCUCGGUAGCCGCGUGGUUUCCACGUGUGCAGCCCGCGUGGUGUCUAGUGGAGUCCGUUUGUCGGUCACUCGCCUCGGUUGACACACGGGGUCCGCUUCCGUCGACCCAUGGACCGUCUCUGUGUACUCGGUCUACCGUGAUCCCUUAGGUUGACAUGUGGGGUCCGCAUGUCAACAGCGCAACCUUCCUGUAUUUUUCAGGCUAGCGCUUACAUAUAUUUUAUAGUUGCAAAACCUAAUUAUAAUAAUCCGUUCGGAUGAUCAUAUCUUGAUCAUACAAACCCCGAAUCGACCCGUUCAAGUCUCCUAAUGUUUGUUAUAACCUAAAGAACCUUGUGCUUUUCUUUUUAUGUAUUGUUAUUGCUUCUCUAUAGGCUUGUAGCUUUGCUUGUGUGCUUUGCGUAGCUUCUGUCAUUUCGAAGGUUCCUGAAGCGUGGCUCGUGGUCGUCGCUGAAGGUUCGGAAGGCCGUUCUCUCUGAGCAAGGCAAGUUGCAUCAUCCUUGAGCAUAUUGAAUCCCAGUUUAUAAAAUUAUUUUGAUUUGAAUUAUUGCAUUACUGCUUUAUUUAAAUUCCCGCAUUAUCACUGUUUUAUUUAGCAUUACCUAUUAAUCCUUGUUAUAGCCUUAUCAUUGCAAUUGUUAUUAUCACCUUGCUUACCCUAGGCAAACAAAACCCCAACUAGUGGGUACUCUAUUAAUGGUUCCACUAGUAUGAAUUUAGGUAGAUGCUUCGCUGGUUAAUUAGUCAACACUAGGUGGUUUGAUAACUUUAGACUUUGGGAGUUCUCAUAUCACUUGGACACUAUGGAAUGGUUGGCUUAUGUUGGAAUUGGACAUACCCCUCUCUUCCUCUUUCAAAACCCCUAAAACCUGUUUUCCGGUGGGGUUUGGGUGCACGCCAGUUGUGGGAAGUAGCACCCCGGCCAAUAUAAGGAUUACGCUCGGGCCUCUGUUGCAAAGCACUACCGUACUAAUCACAUGUCUAAUGGGUAAGGCUUAACUCGGUGCUCAGUCUAGUCCUGAACAAAAGGACACGGAUAGAGAUGGAUGAAGUCGUUGUGACGAUGGAUAUCUCUGAGGCAAAUGAAGGCUACGCGAGCUGCGGCUUGUUAAUCGAGAUGUCUAGGCAAAUGAAGGCUACAUGGGCCAGUGUCCGUUAGUCGAGAUGCCAUGGCACUGGACUAGUACGCGGGUGGUCUCACCCUUAUGUGUGUGGCGCACCUGGUCUAGAUCCUGUUGCUAGGGGCGCAAUCCUGGCCUGCCUGUCCGGGAUACCGGCCGUAGGCAGGGUUGAGUCGGUAUUUUUGUUCACGGCUAGGAUGGGUAAAGGGUUAUGUCACAUUUUUUAUGAUGGGUUCCAAUUGCAAUGGAAUGCAGAGUAAAGGCGUGUCUUGUGGGUAAAGAUGUACACCUCUGAUCAGAGUACAAUCUAUUCGAAUAACCGUGCCCUCGGAUAUGGGCAAGCCUAGCAAUGUACCCAAGUUAGUGGUUUAAUUCUUAAAAUUUGCUUAACAACUAAAAUAUGGAAUGGUAGGCCUGGGUUGGCUUGGGAUGAGCUAGGACCCAGGUCGGGUUGCCAGUUCGGUCUGAAUCAUCGUAGGCCUUGGGUUAAGGCAAGUUCGUGAGGGUUCACGGCCUUGAUUAAUAAUAUUGUGUAGCUCUAGGAUCGUGUUUAUAAAAUAGCUUUGAGCAACUAAGUGUCUUUUAAAUGCUCUUUACUGCGAAACCUAACCCUAUUAUUAUUACUCCUUGUACCCCCUUGCAUUAAUCAUGCAUCUCCCGGUGUGACUUGCUGAGUACUGUGGUUGUACUCAUUCUUGCUCAAUCUCCCCCCCUUUCAGUAAGAGAAGCUUUGGAGAAGAAGUCUAGGUGGAGUCCUGGCUUAUACCCCAGUUGAGCGCCUGUGAAGAUGGAGCCGUAGGCUUGCUAGUCCGCUGCUGUUUAUUUUUGAUUGUCAAGCCUGAAGUGCCUUUGUAAUAAUGUAAAUAUUAUCGAUAUAAUAAAGAUGUGUCUUUUGUAUCAUGUUUGUGUGGUGUACCCCGGCUUUUUCUGGGACGGGGAUUAAUACACUAGCGUUCUGGAAAAAAGCAAUUUUUCCGGGCGCGAUACCCAUGCAUGUGUCCAAACAUUUGAUGUGAUGUUUUUGGCCAAACUUUUUUGGAUCUAAACAAGGCCUAAAAAUGUAUAUGCGAUUCAGACCCUGUUUGGAUCAGGGACUAAAGUUUUAGUCCCUGUCAUAUUGGAUGUUUGGAGACUAAUUAGAAGUAUUAAACAUAGAUUAAUGACAAAACCCAUUCCAUAACUCUGUACUAAUUCGCGAGACGAAUUUAUUGAGCCUAAUUAAUCUAUGAUUAGCCCAUGUGAUGCUACAGUAAACAUGUGCUAAUUAUGGAUUAAUUAGGCUUAAAAAAUUUAUAUCGCGAAUUAGCUCUCAUUUAUGCAAUUAGUUUGCAAUUAGUUUUGUAAUUAGUAUAUUUUUAAUACUCCGAAUUAGCGUCGAAACAUCCGAUAUGACAAAGUUUAGUCUCUAGAUCCAAACACCACCUCAGUCAUUGAGUUUUCUGUACCUGCACCUGCUAUUUUCUGGUACCCUAUUUGUUUUUAUUCCUAUGAAGUUGCAUGCAGAAACGGUUAGGUUGGGCUUACAUUAUUAUUAUCUUGAAAUUGGUAAUUCCAUGUGAAAAUUUAGUUGCACAGUGCUUAAGCAUUGCUGGAUGUAAAGUAUGCUUGUGGUAUCUGGUAGCUCAGGUUUUAACUCACUGUGAAAUGAGAGGGUCAAAGCAGAACUGCAAACAUGAAACAAAUUGACUGACUAACCUGAACUCAUAUCUUGUUCAUAAGAGUAACAUGAACUCAUUUUCUGUCCACAAGAGUUACUAGUUCUUUGAUACUUCACUGAAGAUUUGUAGACCAUCUCAACGGUGUGGAAUACAGAUAAGAUAAUGGAUAAUUGUACCUUUUGCUAUCUGCUGUCUGCAGACUGCAGAUUAUCCAUUUUAUACCUAGUACGAUGCCAAUGCCAAUUCAGUAUUAUCUAAAAGGUAUAAUGCCAAUUAUCAGCACCGCUGAAAUUAGGCCAAGUUUAGUUCCAAACUUUUCUUCAAACUUCCAACUUUUCCAUCACAUCGAAACUUUCUUAUACACACAAACUUCCAAUUUUUCCGUCACAUCGUUCCAAUUUCAACCAAACUUCCAAUUUUGGUGUGAACUAAACACACCCUUAGUCUGCAGGUUCCAGAAAUGAAGUUUCAUGCAGAAAUGGUUGUGCUGGUAUUACAUCAUUUUGGUGCUGAAAUGGAUAAUUCGGUGGGAAAAUAUGCUUGUCAGUUCUUAGGCAUUCGUGAUAGAUGGUGUCAGGCAUUUCACUGAAUGAUCUAAAUUUUUAUGCAUAUAAUGUAAAGUCCGCUCGUGUUAUUGGUAAUUGAACUACUAAGCUAGUCUGAUAUAAUCGUCAACAUUAUUUGACAUUUCAGUAAUCUUUUGCAGAUGAGCAUAUCGAUCAGCUGCAAAGGAAUACAGAAAAUUGGAUUUUUUGGGGGAAAGAUAAUUGGAUUUUUUUUAAUCUGCAGAUUGUCCUGGUUCAUCAGUAUUGCUGUAGUUGCUAACCGGUACUCAUAGACUCCUUGGUACAACCGUACAACGCUAAUUCGCCAUCUUAAAGAAAUGUUACAAUGCCAAUUUAUCUGCACCACUGAAUUUAAUCUGUACCCAAUAUUCAGUCCCAGAUCAUGUGGAGGUUUGCACUUUGCAGAGUGCCAGUUCUCUGGAACUUAAAUUUUCCAAUACCUUUUAAACAGAACGAAAUUAAGGUGCUUCUCAAAACUAGUUUUGAAUUCAAAUUGCAACCUGCAAGUUGCCAUCGAUCAAGUCUUGCAACGCAAGCAGGCUCCGCUUCCUCCGCAGCUUCCAGAAUUUGUUCGAAACGAAGCAAACUGGAGCACGCAACUAUCCAACAUAUAUACUACUAGCAGCAGCGUCUUCCUCCUCGUCGUCUUCAACCUCUCUCGUGUCGCGUGCCAUUCGCCAUCGCCACCACCUCCACUACUCGAUCCCCUCCCAUCCCUCCGGAACCUCCACUACUACUCGCCCCACCAAUGGCUGACGGCGAGUCUCCGCCGUGGGCAGAGCUCGUCCCCGACAUCGUCCGCGAGAUCGGCCGCCACCUCCUGUGCGAGAUCGACCGCCACCAUGCGGAUGGCCUCUGCAGGUCCUGGCGCGACGCGCUCCUACAACUCCGGCCCCCGCCUCCGCCGCUCCCGCGGCUCGUCCUCCCGGAAGCCGACGGGCCCGCGUUCUACUGCGUCCCCAGCGGCUGCCGCCCCCACCCCUUCGUCCUCCCGCCCGCCGCGCUGCGCGCGCGGUGCUUCGGCUCGUACGACGGAGCCUGGAUCUUCCAGGCCGUCGACCAGGCGGCGAACCACGUCUUCCUCAACCUCAUCACCCACCAGCAGCUCAACCUCCCCAACCUGAUCCGUUUCCCCUCCUUCCGGCUUCCGGGAUUGACAUUUGACUUCGAGGUCGCCUUCGUCGCCGCCACCCUCUCUAGCCAGCCGACUGAUCAGGGAUGCGUCGGCGCCAGCAUCAUCGGCUUCAAACGCAGGCCCCUCAACCCACGGCACAUCGCGUUCUGGCGCAUGGGCGAUGAGGCGUUCUCGCAGUCCAUCGAGUCGAGGUGGAUUGACGAGGAGCUGGAACUGGAUGUGGUGGACCUCCUGUACAGCGGCCAUGGCGCUGGCGCCUUCCUCUUCCUCACCCGAGGGGAAAACAUCCGUGUGUUUCGUCAACCGAUAUUCCCUCUCGGAGACAUGCAGACGACAGUGCUCUACUUCGAGCGGCGCGGUGACGACGACGACGACGACGGGCGGUCCUUGAUCGCUACCUCGUGGAGUCCCGAGGGAAGCUGCUCAUGGUCGUCAGGUUAGGAGAUCGUGAGCCUGGCCGCUUGCCGACCACGACGUUCCGGGUGUUCGAGAGAGAAGACGAGCUGUUCAACAACUACUGGACCAAGCUGCCCGACCUUGGCGGCCGAAUGCUGUUCGUCGGAAGAGGCUGCUCCAGAUCGUACGAAGCGGCAGAUGGGUACCCCGGCAUGGAGGGCGUCUACUUCCUGGACGACCGGAGCUUCCACGACCCGAUGGUUGUGUACAAGGAUGCCGCCCAACGGCGUAUCCACUACACCAUGACACUAGAUUACCAACAUACAUCUGUCGGUAAAGAUAAAUAAUUAUUGAUAGACUAUUUGUUGGCAAAGGCUUUUGGCAAAUUAUAUGUUGGGAAUACUAUGUAAUAAGACAUAUUAUAUGUCAGCAAUUAUAAAUUUUUUUGGGGUCAAAAUAACUGUCAACAAUUUUAAGACUAGAAACCAAUUAUAUGUCAGGAAAACUUAAUGAUAAUCCAUCUGUCAGCAAUACUUCAUCCGUCAGAUCUUGAUUCAACGGCUAGGAUAGAGCGCGGUGAAAGCUCAGGCAGGAAAUAAAAAAAACCGCCGAUAUUCUGUGCGCCAAAAAAAAAACACGCCAAAAAAAACCCUAGCUAGGUCGCCGCCUCCUCUCCCCGCUUCCACCGCGCGCCGCCACCUCUCACCCUUCCACCGCGCGCCGCCUCCUCCCCUCGCUUCCACCGCGCGCCGCCACCUCUCCCCCUUCCACGCUCCUCCCCAUCCACCAGGCGCCGCCACCUCCUCCUUCACCAAAUCCGCCGCGCGCCGCCACCUCGCUCCCCAUCCACCGCGCCCCGCUUCCCCCUCCGCCUCGGCGAAAUCCUCCCACCUCCUCCACACCUUCCUCCAAGUCGGCGGCGGCGGCGAGUUCAAAGUUCGAAGCUGCAAGGUACGUGGUAGAAACGAAAUCAUAUUUUCCCGCAAGAUCAUCAUGAUGAUUUUCUAUGUGUGCCAUGCAGCGCGGUGGUUCCCUGAGCCAGAGAAGGUGUGUUUCGAUUUGGGAAGAAGAAGGCCUUGCUGUCCAGUGAGCAGGUACCUCAAUUAACUCUCGAUCUGAUUAGCUGUGUUUCUGAAUUCGAUGUGAUUGCAACAUGUACAGCAUUUCCUCCCUCUCCUAUUAGCUGCGAUGGCAAUAAGUUAAUCCCAUGCAUUUUUUCCCCUUGGAUUGAUGUGGUGUAGCUAGCUAGAUGUUUUUUUUUUUGGAUAUUAGCUUCUUUGGCUAAUCUACUCAGUGUACUGGAAAACAUCUCCGCAGACAUAGCCUGGAAAUAUGACAGACUAAGUUACAUAAUAAAAUUAAAAUAAUGCAACAUACCAAGUUGUUUCACACUUCAGAGUUAUGCACUUUGUUUUUUUCACUGCCACACUGUGAGUAUUCUGAAAUAAAUCCAAAAUUAGCAUGUUUAACCUUUAAAAAAUUUAGAUCAACAAGAUUUUUAUCAGAUUAGUACCUAUAUAUUCUCCCAUUAUUCUAUAAUCUGAGUACAUAAAAAUCAUACUAUUUAUACUUGGUAAGCUGCAAUGUAGUGUAUAUUGUCUCUAGCUCAGUUGCUUCAGGAAAAAAUACACUGCAAGAUUACUCAAGAGAAAGGGACCAAUAUCAUGUCUUAAUUUGUGUAUUUAGAAACUGGACUUGUACAUAGGCUGGAAAAAAAUCACAGUUGCUCAACUAUGUUUAUGCUACUGUUUGCUGAUUCUGUCAACUAAUAUAUCAACUAAUAUAUCAAAAGAUUACUGUGGACUCAAGUUGGACGUUAGCUAAUCAUCAUGGAUAAGGCGUGGAUGGAUGAGCCUAGGCACACACAAAUCUAUAUACAAGGAGUGGACAAUUUCCUUGAUUUUGCAUUUAGCAAGUCUGCAAUAGGAGAUAAAAUAUUAUGCCCAUGUAGAAAAUGUGUGAACUCAUCAUGGAAAAAUCGAAGUGACAUACGUGAGGACUUGAUAUGCGAUGGAUUUGUAAAGGGUUAUAGAACAUGGAUGUUUCAUGGAGAAACAAGUUCCUCUUUUGUUGAUAAUCAUGACAGUGAUGAGGUUGGCAGUGAGCACUCUAGAGAAGAUGAUGACAUUUCUGAUUUGGUUCGAGACUUAGCAUUUGGACUAGAUGAUCGAGGGGAAUUCGAAGAUGCUAGUAGUGAGCCCAUCAAUGAUGAUGAUUUAGAGGCUCUACAGAAGUUAGUAGAGGGUGCUAGUCAAGAAUUGUACCCAGGGAGCAAGAACUUUUCAAAGCUACGCUUUGUAGUACGGCUGCUGCAUACUAAAUUACUUGGGGGCUGGACAGAUAGAAGUUUUGACAUGCUGUUAGAUCUACUGAAUGAUGCCUUCCCGGAGGGGUCAGCACUACCUAAAAAUUACAAUGAAGCUAAGAAGUUGAUAAAAUCUCUAGGGCUUGGCUAUGUUAACAUUCAUGCAUGUAAAAAUGAUUGCAUUCUCUUCCACAAGGACCAUGCUAAUGAAGACGCAUGUCCAAAAUGCAAAACUUCAAGAUGGAAAUCAGAAACCAAGAGUCUUGAUGGGAAACGUGUACACAAGGUUCCUGUCAAGGUUCUUCGCUAUUUUCCGAUAAAGAGAAGGCUGCAGAGAUUGUUUGUGAACCAGAAAAUAGCAACUCUCACAAGGUGGCAUGAUGAAGGACGUAUACGAGAUGGUUUGCUUAGGCAUCCGGCAGAUUCACUUGCAUGGGAGGACUUUGAUCAGAAGCAUCCUGAGUUUGCUUCUGAUAGCCGCAAUAUUAGAUGUGCAUUAGCUACAGACGGUUUUAACUCAUUCAGGUCCAUGAACAUUAACUACAGUAUUUGGCCUGUUAUUUUGAUUCCUUACAACUUCCCACAUUGGAUGUGCAUGAAGCAACCAAAUUUCAUCCUCUCAUUGUUAAUACCUGGGCGUGAAGCUCCUGGUAGUGAUAUGGAUGUCUAUUUUGAGCCACUAGUUGAUGACAUGAAAGAUAUGUUUGUUGAAGGCAUUAGAACAUAUGACUCUUCUAGGUCUGAGUACUUCCAAUUGCGUGCUGCCAUAUUGUGGACCAUUACUGAUUAUCCGGGGCUAGGAUAUGUGGCAGGAUGCACUACCUCUGGUGAAGGAGCAUGCCUUGAUUGCCACUCUUAUACUUGUUCGCUGUUUUUAAAGAACGGGAGCAAGACAUGCUACAUGGGUCAUCGUAGGUUCUUAGAUGCAAACCAUGAAUUUAGGUUUGAUGCCCAUUCAUUUGAUGGUCUUACUGAGCUGCGGCCAGCACCUAAACCACUGAACCAGCGGCAUGAUCAUGUAUUUAUAUUAGGGCAAAUAACCUCACUUGAAACAACUAGUGAUCACUCAAUAGUUUACCUUGUGAGUGAUAGGAACAAUAUACAAAAUGCUGAAUCAGUACUACAAACUUUUUUUUCAUGAGUGUUUUAUAAAUUGCAUGGCAAUUUGAGUGUGGAACCAUGAAAACAUUCAUAGACAUGAUCACUUAACUGAACACUUCUUGGUGACAAGUGAAAUGCCAUUGUAUCUGCAAUGAUUAGUUCAUUUGAGUCCUCUCCAUGAGGGUUAUACUUAACAUUGUAUCUGCAAGGUAUUGUGGUCUAUUGGACCUUGGUACUCCCAUCACUGACUGUCCUGUUUGUAGGUGUGUCUACAUUUUUGCAUAGCAUGUAAUGUUUUGUCAUUAUUGGGGCAUCUGAAUCUGUACAGUUCAUUGAUUAUAGCAUUGGAUGUUAGCUUACAUAUAUUGAUGAUAGUAGUUCUGAAGUCUAUCAAUAUAGUAUUCCCUUAUCAUGUGCUAUCAUGUGCUGCUUCUAUGAAAAAAAUAGUCCAUGGAACUGUUAGAUGAAAAAAAUUGGGCUUUCACAUAUGGUGGCAGUAUCUUCUAUACUGUUUACAUUUUUUAUUUCAGCAAAGGGAAUGUGAUAUUGUGGACUGAAGCAUAGCUUUCCUUAUUUUGCAGGCAACCAUAAAAAGGGCUAGCAGAGGUGCUGAAAAAAAAACCAAGAACCUACAAGAACCAUAAAAGAGAUGAUUUGUAUUGUUUUUGGGACCUCGAUACACCUACAAGAACCUUAGUUGCAUCUAAGUUAUGUAAUUAUUGCUAUGUACUUGAAGAACUCCAUUAUAUCUAAGUUGGACAUUUAUGUAAUAGCUAUUUGAGCUGAUGGACAACUGCUAUUUGUAUCAGAAUACUGCUAUUGUGAUACUGGUACUUGAAGGCUACUUGAUGGAUGAACAAUAGUUAUGAAUAGUUUAAUAUUGUGUUAUGCAUGUGUGUAACUUACUAAAAGUGAUAAUCUCUGUUGCAAAAUUUGGAGUGGUAUUCAUCCAUGUAUGUUGCAAAUUUAAUUUGAGGUAUGGUUCAUAAAAUGGAUGCUAAUAGGUAAUUAGUAUAUUUUUUUGUGUGGAUUACCGACUGAUUGCUUGUAAGUUAUUGUGCUAGCCAUCUAUACAUUAAUUGUCGGCAAAUCUAUAACACAAUGAUAUGCUAUCUGUUGGGAAUCUUCUUAAGUGUCGGUAAAUGCCCAUCUGUUGGUAAAACUAUCUGUCGGUAAAUAUGUAGCAACACUAUCAGUCUAUCUGUCAGCACAUAUUUAUCUGUCGGGAAAGACCUUUGCCGGCAGCACUUGGCCUGACAGACCCUAUCUGUCGGGAAAAGUUUUGCUGACAAAUAAUUUGACAGCAUAUAGGUCCUUUCCUGACAGAUAUGUAGUAAGCAAACUAGGGGCAUGGUGUAGUGAUCCCUGCAGCGACAACGGGAGAUGGUCGGGAGCACCGCCACCAGCGGAGGUAGAGCGCUGCUUCCCAGAGCAAGGUCCGUCGAACUACUCCCCUCCGGUUUGGAUUCUCCCAUGAGGCACACGACACAUGUUUUUGGUUGUUGAAAUUGUUGCCGGUGAUCAGGCUAGUCUGUGAUCGUUGCUAAGCUUUCAUGCCUUCAUCAGCAUGUACUGUGUUAGUGUGUUUGUUCGUUGAGUUUGGAUGGUUUUCUCAUGUUAAAAUUGUUACUGGUGUAAGCUGAAGCAGGAUUGCUCAAUUCAGUGGAGAAAUUGAUCUGCAGGUGACUUGCCGUUCACUUAGUUUCUGUCUGCAUGUUUUUUCACAAAUUUGCAUUUCAAUUCAAGCUUCUUUUACUGAAGUUGCAGUGUUCACAAAUGUCUUGGGAAUUGGAAAAUGCAGAUAGUUCUGUUUCUUUAUGAUCGAUAGUUGUAACAUGAUGCAGCGCUAAUGAUCUGCAGUGCUGAAUUUAGUAGCACUAGCUGGCAGAAAUAUAACAUGUAGUAGGAUUGACCUUAUUCCACUUCAUUGUUUCUUUUACUUGUUAGUAACUAUCUCUGCAGUACAGUAUUAUUAGCUGAACAAAACUCAUUUUCGAACAAAAUUCACUUGCAGAUAGCUAGCCAGCAAUGAUGGAUGCGUAGUUUAUUUGCACCUUUUGCUGCCUUAAGUGCCUUUUCCCCUUCUGAUUUUGGAUUCCACCUGAUAAUUUCAGUGUGGAUAAGUGCAUGUUUGUGCUCAGAUUUUGUCAGAACACAUCCUUUUUUGGUGGAUGUCCUUUGAUUUGUCCGAAGUGAAUUUGCAUGCAGUCAAAUUUAGUUGUAAACUCUAGCUGUCUACUUAGGCCGUGCUUAGUUUCCCCCCUAUUCCCAACUUUCCAUUACAUCAUAUCACAUAAAAAACUUUCCUAUACACAUAAACUUCCAACUUUUUUUUUCCAAACUCCCAACUUUCUUCAAACUUCCAACUUUUUUCAGGAACUAAACACACCCUUACCCUUGCAGUGAACUGAGAAUGUGAAAACAUUGAGUUCUUCGGGUGUGUUUAGUUUACGCUAAAAUUAGAAGUUUGGAUGAAAUUAGAACGAUGUGAUGGAAAAGUUGGAAGUUUGUGUGUGUAGGAAAGUUUUGAUGUGAUGGAAAAGUUAGAAGUUUGAAGAAAAACUUUGGAACUUAACUCGGCCUUAGCUCAAGUGCAGAAUCCAGAUGGUCUGAAAUAUGAAUGUUGGAUGCCCGGUGCUUCAUGCGUCUCUGUUAUACAAACCGGUGUGCAUCCAUAAUAGUAGCACACUAUUCUUCCAACUUUUCCAUGCAUUUUCCACUUUGGUUCUUCUGAUAGACUAAAUAGCAGCUUGGUUCAUUUCUCUGAAGUUAUAGUUUGCUGCGUGUGGCUGGCCUUUUGAAUUGGCCGUUAUAACUGAACAUUGUUAGCAUAUUUUGUUCCUUCUUUCUGGUUUUGGAGCCCAAAAUUGUCUUUCUGCUUACGAUAUACUAAAUGUUGUCUUUCUGCAUGAAGAUGCGGAUACUGUAGCACAUCCGGCAGACCGAGCCUGGCUGUUUCUUUUUCUCGGUUUAAGAUUUUCAUGUUUUGAUAUCUCACUCUACAUAUAUCAUCUGUCACUUUGUUUUCUGACGCAAGAAGAUAGAGCAUGCUCUACCUUAUAGUCAUUUCAUUGAUAGAAAUGAAGAUUAUGCGUUCACGAAUAGAAAUGAAGAUUACAGAGAUUAUUAUACAAGAAUAGAGGUUAUAAAGGAAGCAUAAGGAAGAGAGAAGUAAGACAAUGAUAGAGGGGAGGAGGAGGGUGGUGGGAUGGAUUUACAGAGGUAUAUACACUGGGCUGUACCCUAGGAAAGCCUUGAACACCAAGAUAUUUUGCCUGGUUCUCUCAUUGGCCCUAUGAUUCCAUAGUUCCAGAAUAUCGGCGAUCUGCUGUGUUAUAUAUUGCAGGUGAUCUAUUUGUCCUUCAAAGAUCCUAUUGUUGCGAGAUUUCCACAGCUUGUAUGCACAUGCAGCAAACCAUAUUGGUUCUAUUCCACUUGUUGAGUGAUUCCUGUCCAUGACAGCUUGUAUGAAAGUCGGGGCUGACUUGGACUUGUUGGCUAGCUGUAGUAAAUCCAAUUUUUUCCAUAGGUUGUUGGCAUUCUUGCACCUUAAGAGAAUAUGAUCUGCUGAUUCAAGGGCAGGGCAGAUGUUGCAGUGGGGGUUGUCAUCCCAGUUCUUUUUGACCAUAUUGGCUUUAGUGUUCAGUCUAUCUUUGAAUGCCAGCCACAAGAAGAUUUUGCAAUUCAAUGGGAUUGUGUUGAGCCAGAUGUAGUCAGCCAGUUUCCAAAGGGAUCCAUGGUAAGUCAGUAAGUGAUAUGCAUUUGCAGUUGAGAUCUUAGGAGCAGGGUAUAGGAGUUCUCUUGUGUCCGUUACCUCCGGGAUGGGUGUGAUGUCUUGUAGGAUGUGCAACAGUGUUUCCAGCUCUGAUUCUGCUUGGUAGGAGUGGUUGGGGUGGAGCUAUAUUUCCCAGGAAUUUUGUUGAAAUUGUGAUUGUAUCGUGCAUUAUGUGUUCACAGCGUAUGAGAACAAAAUUGGGUAGGCAGAUUCCAGGCGUUGUGCCAGCCAUUCGUCCUUCCAAAAUAGAGUUGUUCUGCCAUCUCCUAUCUUUACAUGUGUUGUUGAGCUUAGGAUUUGAAAGUGUGACAGAAUAAGUUUCCAAGUUGGUGUAUCACUGGUUUUGGGCUACAGCUGUAUACUAUUUUGUAGAUAUCUUUUCCUGAACCAGUUGGCCAUUAUUGGGUCAUCUGAGCCUGUGAGCACUUUGUUACCUAAUUUCAAAAUCAAUGCUGUGUUAUGUGCCCUCAGGUCCUUAAUCCCUAAUCCUCCUUGCUGUUUUUCUAGCAGUACUGUCUUCCAAGCAACUAGGCAUUGACCUCCUUUUACUGAUUUCUCACCUUUCCAAAAGAAGGGACGUCUUUGCUUAUCUAUUGCCUCAAUGAAUUUAUCUGACCAUAAGCAACAAGCCAUGUAGUAUGUUGGAAUGGAUGAUAUCACAGAAUUUAUCAUGGUUAGUCUUCCUCCUGUGGACGGAGGCAUCCAACCAGCUAGAUAUCUGUCGACCUUUGAGAUGACUGGUACUAACAUGUUAUGUGUAAUUUUUGUCAUGUUAUGUGUAAUUUUUGUGGUUGACAGGGGCAGCCCAAGGUAACUGCACGGUAGGGAGCUUGGACACUGCAGAUUUGUGUUACUAGUUCCUUGGUUAAAUCAUUCAGGUGUAUUGGAACAAGAGUGCUCUUAUGGUAGUUGAUCUGUAGGCCUGAAAAGCUUGCAAACGAAUCCAGAAUUUCUUUGAGUGUUGUUGCUUGAUCCGCAUCUCCUUUUAUGAGAAUCAAGGUAUCGUCUGCGUAUUGCUGUGUUGGUGAUUCACCUUCAAUAUCUAGGGGGUGAAUUAAGACGACUGUGCUGUAUGCCCGUUGGAUCAUUUUUUGUAGAACGUCUGCAACUGGUAUGAAUAGGUAUGGUGAUAAAGGGUCCCCUUGACAGACUCCCCUUCUGUAUAGAAUUUGUUCUCCCUUUUCUCUGUUGAUGAUAAUUAACCUGAGCUUUUCCUGUGCAGAGUAGAGAUUUCAUCCAACAAAUCCAUUUAUCCGGAAACCCUCUUACCCCAAGAACAUUAAACAGAGCGUCCCACCUGACCGUAUCAAAUGCCUUGUGGAAGUCAAGCUUGAGUACUAUUAUUGGUUUCUUCUUCUUUAGGGCUGAUUGUACCAUUUCUAAGACGAGAAUGAAGUUUUCAUGGAUACAUAUGUUUUUUAUGAAGCCUGAUUGCAUGGGGUCAAUUAACUUGAUUAUUUCCAUCUGUAACCUGUUGGUUAAGGUCUUGCUGAGAAGUUUUGGUACACUGUGUAGCAGGGAUAUAGGUCUGGAAUCCUUGAUUUGAACUGCUUUUGCUGUUUUUGGUAAAAGGGUAAUAUAAGACUGAUUAACUCUAGACAGGUCGAUGUUAUUGUCAAACAUGUCUUGAAAGAUUACUUGUAGAUCAGGCAAUAACUUAUUGAGGAAACGCUUGUAGAAUUCGUUUGUUUUUUUUUUUUUUUGCGGGGGGUAGAAUUCGUUUGUUAAUCCAUCGGGCCCAGGGCUCUUGUUUCUUGGUGCACUGUGGACGAUCCUGAUAGGUUGACACCAGCUCUGAAGGUUUUCUUGUUGAGGGUAGAGCAGAGACGGGGGGAAAUUUCCAUCAGACGUUGAGGAUUCACUGAACAGAGGAUGAAAGAACGAAGUUGCAAUGUCCAGUUUUUUGUUGUUGUCUUAAUGUUCUACCACAUUGUCCAUCAGUAAUUUCAUGCAAUUUUUUUGCCUGUUGACUGAUGCCACUAUGUGAUAAAAUCUUGUAUUUUCGUCUCCUAGAGUGCAGAAUCUUAUUCGGGCUCUUCUUUUCCAUUUUAGUGUGAUGAAGCCAUUCAGGUCUUUGAUGUUUUUUUGCAACCUCUGACGAAGGUAGAAUUCUAAAUCGGUGAGUUGGCGCCAUUCUUCAACUUUGUCCAGGUAGUCCACUAUCUCUUUGUUAGCUGACAGAAGUGUUGGGAGGUUGCGCCUGCUCUUGUUCCAGGCUUUCGCAUUAGCUCGCAGAUGUUUGAUUUUGUGAUUGAAUUGGGUGAUUGUUAUCAUGGGUCUUGUUCCAUUAUUCCAGUUAGUUUCAGCCAAGGUAACGGACUCUGAUAUUUGCAACCAGAUGUUUUCUAGACGGAAGAUGGCUGAGUGAGAACUGUUUGAAAAUUCAGCUAGUACAUGUAUAUGGUCUGAAGUUGUAGCCAUAAGUGCUCGAGCUGAACAGUUGUCGAAAGUUUGUAUCUAUCAAAACUCUGUCUAAUUUUACCAAUGUGGGAUAUCUUCUUUUGUUUGACCAAGUGAACCUUCUGUUUGGAAUGUCAAGAUCUAUUAGACCCUCUUCAUUUAUUCAAUAAUUAAAAUUUUCCAUUCCUCUUGUAUUUAUACUGUCAUUGCUUUUUUCAUGUGGGUAUCUGUAGAUGUUAAAAUCGCCAAUACACAUCCAGGGACCUUGGUUUGUUGAUCUGAAGGCAGUGAGAAGAUGAAAUAGGUUUUGCCUGUCUGAAUCAUUAUGGGGAGCAUAAAUGUUGGUGAUCAGGAAGGUUGUUCGAUCUGUUGUGGACUGGAAGGAGCAUGACAGGGCCAAAUCGCUUCUUUCUUUCAAGGUGGCAUUGAACUUGAUGCAGUUCCAUGCUGUGAUUAAGUCCCCAACAAAGCCAUUGGAAGGUUGCCAGUGGAAGCUUCUUAGGAAGUUUGGAAGGAUUGUCGGAACUGUGAAUCUAUCCAAAGUGUGCAACUUGGAUUCCUGAAUGCAGAUAAUAUCUGGCUUGUGCUCUAAUACUGUUGACAGCACUAGUUGUCUCUUAUCUUUGUCACCAAGUCCUCUUACAUUCCAAGAGAGGAAUUUCAUUGCGAUUGUGCCGGUACUCCGGGGAAACAUGCGAAAAAACAACGAGAGGUCCGGUAGCCAAAAAACCUCCUUGGGUCUUAGCAUCCCUGUGGAGAUUAUGGAUACCCCAUACCUACACGGCAUGUAUAGUCCGACUGGGUAUGGGGUGCCAUGUAUAAAUAGAAUAUCUUUAAAAGGACUCGGGUUGAAUUCCAAACUUGUGCGUCAAGAAAAUACCCAGGAUCCUAGUUGGUUACAAUUGUAUCUUAUCUGUAAUUACGUAUUCCGUUAGGGAUAUGGACUGUGCUUUGUAAUACGGACCCCUUCCCCGAUAUAAGGAGGGGUCCGGGUGCCUCUAGGGGCACGAUUUUCUUCCAGAUCAUACGAUCAAUAAUAUACUCGGCGGAUCAAUCCCCGGACAGGAGUAGGGUAUUACUUCUUGAUUAAGAAGGCCUGAACCUGUAUAAAAUUCCUUGUCUCUAAACCUAUCCACUUUUCUAGCUUGAUAGCCACCCCCUAUUAGUAUUGCUGAAAUCUUGUUUCGACAGUUGGCGCGCCAGGUAGGGAUAGCCUCAAGUUCUUCGCCGACUAGUGCGAUUGGUUUCGUCUCCGACAUCGACGACUUUGUCUUCCCACCCGGGCAGGCAUUCCGGUUCGGCAGCCUCGACUUCAUCACCAACGACUUCAGCAAGAUUUAUCUCCUCGACUCGGAUUCGAACCAGUCGGGAAGAGGCCAGGCCUCCGCCCCAUUUGGUAUCCCGAACUAGGCUGAGAUAUACCCCAAGAUCAUCUCAACCAAGUUGGCCCCAAACCACUGGGACGAGAUCCAAUCUACUACAACACGACCUGAUCAAGACGAUGGAGCCUAUCCGCCAAUCCUGACGAAACUCCCCGAUGAUUUGGUUGCCAUCUUCACCACAAGGGCGUCUUCUCCCCGUAGGUCUAGGCCGGAUCCGGCCUCGGCCCCGAUCCAGUCUAGCUCCAGGGAAGUGGGCGUCAUACUCCAGCCUCUCGGCACAGUUUCGACGGAACAACUGGACGGCUACCUCAGCUCCCCCGGUGUCGACUCACGACCAACGGAGAUCGUAGAGUACGACGACUUCGGCUACCGCUACGACUAUCGCAACCUCGACGACUUCGACGAAGGCUUUGAAGAUAACUACAUGCCCCUCUACUUCGGCAUUUUUAUGGCCGACAACGAGACAGAAGGACAGCGUAAAGCCCGAGAAGCAGAAGAGCAGCGCGUGCGACAAGAAGCCGAACGACGCCGACUGGAGGAGGAGCGCCAAGCACAAGAGCGAGAACGGCUGCAGCGUGAGCAACAGGAGCGCGAGCGGGCUGCAAAGGAGGCCAAGGACCGGCGACAGCGUGCUUUGGAUGCCAGGCGACGAGCACGAGAACUCAUUGGGCAGCAAGACGUCGAGGGAACGGCGGUUUUCCGCACCCCUCAACAGAACGCGGUUGCAGCGAUCACCCUCCUUGACACCCUCCUCAAGGAAGACGCACUCAAUCAAGCCAACCACAUCGUCAACAUCUUGAAUCAGACCAAGACCAUGAUCGCAGCUUCGGUCCCAGUUAACUCUGCAAGCGUCCGCACGACGACGGGCAGCCGAGUUCCCCCUCUUCGAUCUCAAGACUAUCACCAACCAAGGCUCAGCGUCAUCGGCGCGGGAUCCAGUCGCAGGAACAGGGAUCACGACGAGCGAUCCGUCCACUCGCCUCCUGAUCAGCGCAGGGAGCGUCGAGCUGAACGUCCCCGCUCCCCACACCGCAGGCGUCCCAUCGAUCUUCGCGAGACUAUCAACCAGCGCCGCGCGGCGAGGGGCUAUGUACCACACCAUUCACCAGAUCGCUACGACGACGACGUGGAUGGAGUUGCUGCCUUCACAAGCGACCUGCGUCGAGUGGAUUGGCCAGCUGGCUUUAAGCCGACUGGAAUCGAGAAGUAUGACAGCACCACCAACCCUGAGUCUUGGCUCACCGUCUACAGUCUCGCAAUUCGCGCAGCAGGAGGAGACAGCAAAGCUAUGGCAAAUUAUCUGCCCGUGGCCCUAGCGGAUUCUGCCCGGUCCUGGCUUCACGGGCUACCCCGCGGCACAAUCGGAUCUUGGGCGGAACUCCAUGACCACUUCAUCACCAAUUUCUAGGGUACUUUUGAACGCCCUGGCACCCAGUUCGAUCUUUAUAACGUUGUUCAGAAGUCUGGGGAAUCUCUCCGAGAUUACAUCCGAUGUUUUUCAGAGCAACGCAACAAGAUCUCCGACAUCACCGAUGACGUCAUCAUCGCCGCCUUCACCAAGGGCAUUCGCCACGAUAACUUAGUCGGUAAGUUUGGACGCAAGCCUCCCAGGACGGUCAAGCAGAUGUUUGAAAAAGCCAAUGAGUACGCCAAAGCCGAAGAUGCCAUCACCGCAUCCAAGCAGUCGGGCACCACUUGGAAGCGGAAGAACGAUACGCCCACCACAGGGGGGAGUGGAAGUACCAAUCACAAGGAUCGCAAGCGUAAGCCCGAGGAACUUGUGGCAACCACUACACCAUCCUCCCAACAACGUUCGCGCGUCAACACUUUCGACGAAAUCAUGAAAUCCCAAUGUCCGCAUAAUCCAAAUUCUAAUCAUGCAGCCAAAGAUUUCUUCGUCUACAAAUAGUUCAUAGAGCAAUACGCCAAGAACGCACACAAGACAACUGACGGAGAUCAAAGCACGUCAAAGAAGGAUGAUAAAGACGAUGCCCCGACUGGUUUUCAAGACCAUCGCAAGGAACUCAACCACAUCUUUGGCGGACCCCUGGCUUACGAAUCCAAGCGAAAGCAAAAGCUGACCGAACAGGAGAUCAAUGCUGUUCAGCCUGACACGCCCCAAUACCUUCGGUGGUCAGAGACAGUAAUUAAAUUUGACCGCUCAGAUCAUCCUGACCGAGUGGUCCACCCGGGGCGUUACCCCAUGGUACUAGACCUAGUGGUUCGCAACGUCAAGCUCCGACGAUCCCUCGUUGAUGGUGGCAGUGCACUCAAUAUCCUUUUCGCUAAGACUCUGGACGAUAUGCAGAUCCCUAACACAGAAUUGAAGCUGAGUAAUGCGCCCUUUCAUAGAGUCAUCCUCGGGCUAUCUUCUACUCCACUCGGCCAGAUCACUUUGCCUGUUACUUUCGGCACUCGGGAGAACUUUCGCACAGAGAACAUCUGCUUCGAAGUCGCUGAUUUUGAAACAGCCUACCACGCCAUACUCGGACUACCGGCGUUAGCCAAGUUCAUGGCUGUCCCGCACUACACCUACAUGAUGAUGAAGAUGCCAGGUCCUCAAGGAGUCAUAUCCCUGCGGAGCGACAUCAAGCAAGCCGUCACUUGCGACAAGGAAAGCUGCAAGAUGGCUCAGACCCGCGAGAUCACGCUCGCCCGAGAAGAAAUCCGACUGGCUGCGUCCACAGCAACCGAAGGAGAAGUGCCUGCAACCAAGAUGACAAAGAUUGGAGAAGGCGACGCCAAGACCAAGAAGAUUCCUCUAGAUCCCUCCGAUCCUACUAAGACUGUUGUAAUAGGCGUUGAGUUAGAUUGUAAAUAGGAAAACGCGCUCAUCACCUUUCUUCAAAAUAAUAAAGAUAUCUUUGCGUGGAAAUCAUCUGAUAUGCCUGGUUUUCCUAAAGAGGUGAUUCAGCACUCUUUACAUGCUAAGGAAGAUGCUAAACCUAUCAAGCAACUACUCCGCCGUUUCACAAAAGAUAGAAAGGACGCGAGCAAGGAGGAAUUGACCAAGCUGUUAGUAGCAGGCUUCAUCAAGGAAGUCCUUCAUCCCGACUGGCUGGCCAAUCCACUCCUGGUUCGGAAGAAGACGGGGCAAUGGCGCAUGUGUGUUGACAACACCGACCUCAACAAGUCUUGUCCCAAAGAUCCGUUCGGGUUACCUCGCAUUGACCAGGUAGUUGACUCAACGGCCGGCUGUGAGCUACUCAGUUUUUUGGAUUGCUACUCAGGAUAUCAUCAGAUCCGACUAAAGGAGUCCGACUGCUUAAAGACUUCAUUUUUUACACCCUUCGGGGCCUAUUGCUACAUCACCAUGCCUUUUGGAUUGAAGAAUGCAGGAGCAAUUUAUCAACGCAUGAUCUAGAGAUGCUUUUCAACUCAGAUCGGACGUAACGUUGAAGCCUAUGUUGAUGAUGUGGUCGUCAAGACCAAGCAGAAGGAUGAUUUUGUCACGACCGGAAAUAACCCAACGGGCGUUCCUUACGUGCGUGCAUUAAUCCUUGUCCCAGGAGGCAAGGUACACCAAAAGUUGAUACAAUUCAGAGUUUAACAAGCGGAAGCGUAAAUAGUUAAUCUAUUACAUGGGCAGCCAAGGCCCAGCACACACAAAGACAAACGAGAAACAGCGGAAGACUAGGGCGACGACCACAGGCACUUGACGGCAGGCACGAGCUAGACACCGAAGCCUUCAUCCUCCAGGAACUCCUCUUCUGGGUUUGGGAAAAAUUGAGCAAGACUGAGUACAACCACCGUACUCAACAAGACACACCCACAAGUGCAGAAUAAAUGCAAGGGAGUACAAAGGAGUUAUACUAUAAAGGGUUAGGGUUGCAGUAAACAGCAUUUAAAGACAUUAGUUGCUCAGGGCUAUUUUGCAAACACGAUUCUAGUACUAUGCAAUAUUAUUUAUCAAGGCCGUGAACCCACACGAACCUGCCUUAACCCAAGGCCUACGAUGAUUCAGACCGAACUGGCAACCCGACCCUGGGUCCCAGCUCGUCCCAAGCCAACCCAUGCCAACCAUUCCACAUUUUAGUUGUUAAGCAGGUUUUAAGAAUUAAAACACUAACUUGGGUACAUUGCUCGGCUUGCCCAUAACCGAGGGCGCGGCUAUUCGAAUAGAUUAUACUCUGAUCAGAGGUGUACAUCUUUACCCACAAGACACAUCUUCCUCACGUGUAACCACGUGCCACAUACCACCACUGUCACGACCGGAAAUAACCCAACGGGCUUUCCUGACGUGCGUGCAUUAAUCCUUGUCCCAGGAGGCAAGGUACACCAAAAGUUGAUACAAAUCAGAGUUUAACAAGCGGAAGCGUAAAUAGUUAACUUAUUACAUGGGCAGCGAAGGCCCAGCACACACAGAGACAAACGAAAAACAGCGGAAGACUAGGGCGACGACCACAGGCGCUUGACGGCAGGCACGAGCUAGACACCAAAGCCUUCAUCUUCAAGGAGCUCCUCUUCUGGGCUUGGGAAAAAUUGAGCAAGACUGAGUACAACCACCGUACUCAACAAGACACACCCACAAAUGCAGAAUAAAUGCAAGGGAGUACAAGGGAAUUAUAAUAUAAAGGGUUAGGGUUGCAGUAAACAGCAUUUAAAGACAUUUAGUUGCUCAAAGCUAUUUUGUAAACACGAUCCUAGAACUAAACAGUAUUAUUAAUCAAGGCCGUGAACCCACACGAACCUGCCUUAACCCAAGGCCUACGAUGAUUCAGACCGAACUGGCAACCCGACCCUGGGUCCCAGCUCGUCCCAAGCCAACCCAGGCCAACCAUUCCACAUUUUAGUUGUUGAGCAAAUUUUAAGAAUUAUAACACUGACUUGGGUACAUUGCUCGGCUUGCCCAUAACCGAGGGCGCGGCUAUUCGAAUAGGUUUUACUCUGAUCAGAGGUGUACAUCUUUACCCACAAGACACAUCUUCCUCACGUGUAACCACGUGCCACAUACCACCACGGUAUACAGACGGAAGACGUGACAUAGUUUCCAACCCAUCCUAGCCAUAGACAAGAGUACCGACCCAAUCCCGCCUACGGCCGGAAUCCCCGGGACAGGCAGGCAGGACUGAGCCCCUAGCAGCAGGGCACCAACCCUCUGCCGUAUGACAUCUCGACUACCGGGCCGCAGCUCGUGUAGCCUUCAUUUGCCCUGGAGAAUGUCCAUCGACCCCCGACUUCAUCCAUCUCCAAUCCGUGUACUUUUGUUUAUGACUAGCCUGAGCCACAAACUAAGCCUUACCCACUAGACAUGUGGAAGUACGGUAGUGCUUUGCAACAGAGGCCCGAGCUUAAUCCUUAUAGUGGCCGGGGUGCUACUUCCCACAACUGGCAUGCACCCAAACCCCACCGAAAACAGGUUUUAGGGGUUUUGAAAGAGGAAGAGAGGUGUGUGUCCAAUUCCAACAUAAGCCAACCAUUCCAUAGUGUCCAAAUGAUAUGAGAAUAACCCAAAGUCUAGAGUUGUAAAACCGCCUAAUGUUACCUAAUUAAAUUGCGAAGCAUCUACCUAAAAUUAAACUAGUGGUGCCAUGAGUAGAGUGUCCACUAGUUGAGGUUUUGUUUGCUCUAGGGUGAACAAGGGAAUAAUAAUAACAAUAGCAAUAAUAAGGUCAUAACAAAGGUAAAUAGGCAUGGCUAAAUAAAACAGUGAUAACGCGGGAAUUUAAAUAAAGCGAUAAUGCAAUAAUUUAAAUCAACAUAAUUUUACAAACUGGGAUUCAAUAUGUUCAAAGAUGAUGUGACUUGCCUUGCUCGCUUUCCCAACCGACGGCUUCGACUUCCACGAAGAGCGGAUCUUCCGAAGCUGCAGCGUCUACACGACCAACGGAAAAGAAAAAGGCUUUUACUCUAAUAAACUCCACACAACAACAGAAACAAAGCACAAAAAUGGGUUCUUGACUUCUUAAGGAAAAAUUAGAGACUUGAACGGUCCAAUUCCGAGUUCAAAUGGCCAAGAUAUGGCCAUUUGAAGUUUAUAUGCUCUUUAAUGGAUAUUUGCGGAUUUCUUCAUUUAAAGUUUUAAUUAAAAAAUCUCAUUUAUUGCGUCAGCCGAGGGAGGGGGCGCGCGGACCGGGUCCACGGGAGUGGGGCCCACGCGUCAGCCUCUCGGUCCACGGUGGACCGGGUGCACACGGCUGACGGCGGCCGGUGCCGUGGGUCCCACGCGUCAGCCGCACCCGCGGGCGCGGGCGGCUGACGGCCGGGCCCACUUGGCAGCCGCGAGGGCACGCCCGAAGGCGGCCUCGCCGGCACGGCCGACGGGAGGGGGACGCGCCCGCGCCCCGAUGGUCACCGCCGGCGACCACCGGCGCGGCGGAGCGGCACCCGAGAGAGAGGAGGGAAGGGGGAAGCGAAUGGAGCGGUCUUCGGCUCACCCCGGUCGACGGCGAUGACGGGAACGGCGGCCGAAGCGGAAGAAGGCGGCGGCGCGGUUCGGGACGACGAGGACGACGGCGCUCCGUCGGUCGGCGAGCGAAACGGAGGCGCGGACGAGGUCGACGGGAACGCGGUGAAGCCGAUGGAGGUGACGCCGAGUGGGGAGGAAGUCCGGAGCGACGGCGGCGGCGAACCGGAGCUUGUCGGCGACGGCGGAGAGAGAGGAAAGCGGCGCGAGCGCGUUUCCGACGGUGAGAGCGAGCGGCGAACGGCGGAAACGGAGGAGAGAGGCACGGGAGACGUUUAAAUAGGGCCGAGAGGAGGAGAGAGCGGCCGGAGGAGAUGGAAACCGGCGCGGAGAUCUCGGCCGCCAUUGAUUGCGCCGGCGAACUUUGCGGGCAUGAAUCGGGACGAAUCCGAGGGAGAGAGAGAGGGGAAAGUGGGGGAAUCGGGAGAGGGAAUCGCGGGGAAUAUUUCCCCCCUCUUUAUGGCGCGCGGGGACGGCGGGAUGCGGCGGAAUCCGCGGCGGCGGCGGCGCUAGGGCACGGGCGAGCGGCGGACGCGGCGGGAGGAAGGCGAUGACAGGUGGGUCCCACCCGUCAGCGAGGGUGGCGGGCGGGCCCGCCUGUCAGCGGCGCGCGCGCUGGGAGGAGCCGAUGGGCCGCGGGGGAAAGGAGAGAGAGAGGGAAGAGAAGUGGGCCGAGCCGGCCCAAGAAAGGAAGGGGGGGAGAAAGAGGACUUCUUUUAGGGUUUUUCUUUUGAUAAACCUUUUCAACUUUGUUUAUUUCUUCUCAAUUAUUAUUUGUGCUCUGAAAAUUCCACUAAAAUUUAUUUACGCAUUUUAGGCUUCUAGGAAAUAUACAAAAAUCCUCCAAGCCUCAUUUGACUUUUAUCUUUGCACAUUUUAAUUGUUGGAGGCUUUCACAUGAAUUUUAAUUAUUCUUUGCACAAUUUCGAGGAUGUAUUUUAGAGUCGAUUUGGGACGUGACAACCACGGUAUACAGACGGAAGACGUGACAUAGUUUCCAACCCAUCCUAGCCAUAGACAAGAGUACCGACCUAAUCCCACCUACGGCCGGAACCCCCGGGACAGGCAAGCAGGACUGAGCCCCUAGCAGCAGGACACCGGCCCUGUGCCAUGACAUCUCGACUACCGGGCCGCAGCUCGUGUAGCCUUCAUUUGUCCUAGAGAUGUCCAUCGACCCCCGACUUCUUCCAUCUCCAUCCGUGUACUUUUGUUUAUAACUAGACUGAGCCACAAACUAAGUCUUACCCACUAGACAUGUGGAAGUACGGUAGUGCUUUGCAACAGAGGCCCGAAGACCGGUCCUUAUAUGGCCGGGGUGCUACUAUCAAAACCAUGCACCCCGAGCCCAGCCUAAAACCAUUUUUGGGGAUUUUGAAUAGAAGGAGCGGUGUGAAGCCAAUUCCACAAUAACCAAACCAUUCCAUAGUGUCCAGGUGAUAUGAAUAUUCCCAAAGUCUAGAGUUGUAAAACCGCCUAAUGUUACCUAAUUAAAAGCGAAGCAUCUACCUAAAAUCAUACUAGUGAUACCAUGAGUAGAGUGUCCACUAGUUGGGGUUUUGUUUAAUCUAGGGUGAACAAGGAAAUAAUAACAAUAACAAUAAUAAUAUGGUCAUAACAAAGGUAAAUAGGCAUGGCUAAAUAAAACAGUGAUAACGCGGGAAUUUAAAUAAAGCGAUAAUGCAAUAAUUUAAAUCAACAUAAUUUUACAAACUGGGAUUCAAUAUGUUCAAAGAUGAUGUGACUUGCCUUGCUCGCUUUCCCAAACGUCGGCUUCAACUUCCACGAAGAGCGGAUCUUCCGAAGCUGCAGCGUCUACACGACCAACGGAAAAGAAACGGAUUUUACUCUACUAAACUCCAUAUAACAAGCAGAAACAAAGCACAAAAAUGGGUUCUUGACUUCUUAAGGAGAAAUUAGAGACUUGAACGGUCCAAUUCCGAGUUCGAAUGGCCAAGUUAUGGCCAUUUGAAGUUUAUAUGCUCUUUAAAUGGAUAUUUGCGAAUUUCUUCAUUUAAAUUUUAAUUUAAAAUCGGAUUUAUUGCGUCAGCCGAGGGGAGGGGCGCGCGGACCGGGUCCACGGGAGUGGGGCCCACGCGGCAGCCUCUCGGUCCACGGUGGACCGGGUGCACGCGGCUUACGCCGGCCGGCGCCGUGGGUCCCACGCGUCAGCCGCACCCGAGGGCGCGGGCGGCUGACGGCCGGGCCCCACAUGGCAGCCGCGGGGCGCGCCCGAAGGCGGCCUCGCCGGCACAGCCGAUGGGAGGCGACGCGCCCGCGCCCCGAUGGUCUCCGCCGGCGACCACCAGCGCGGCGGAGCGGCGCCCGAGAGAGGGGAGGGAAGGGGGAAACAAAACGGCGGUCCACGGCUCACCCCGGGUCGACGGCGACGACGGGAACGGCGACCGGAGCGGAGGAAGGCGGCGGCGCGGCACGGGUCGACGGGGACGGCGGCGUUCCGGCGGUCGGCGGGCGAAACGGAGGGGUGGACGAGGUCGGCGAGGACGCGGCGGAGACGAAGGAGGCGACGCCGAGGCGGGAGAAGGUCCGGGGCGACGACGGCGGCGGACCGGAGCUCGGCGGCGACGACGGAGAGAGAGAACGACGGCGCGAGCUCGAUUCCGACGGGGAGAGAGGGCGGCGAGUGGCGGAAACGGUGGAGGGAGGCACGGGGAGCGUUUAUAUAGUGUUGGGAGGGGGAGAGAGCGGCCGGAUGAGGGGGAAUCGGCCGCGGAAGAUCCGGCCGCCAUUGAUGCGCCGGCGAAGUUAGGGGGAAACUUUCCGAACGAAUCCGAGGGAGAGAGAGAGGGAAAAGUGGGGGGAAAGAGGGAGGGAAUCACGGGGAAUAAUUUCCCCCUCUUUAUUGCGCGCGGGGACGGCGGGAGGCGGCGGGAUUCUCGGCGGCGGCGGCGCUAGGGCACGGGCGAGGCGGCGGGAGCGGCGGGAGGUAGGGGAUGACGGGUGGGCCCCACCCGUCAGCGAGGGAGGCGGGCGGGCCCGCCCGUCAGCGGCACGCGCGCGGGGAGGAGGCCGGAUGGGCCGCGGGGGAGAGGAGAGAGAGGGAGAGAGAUGGGCCGAGCCGGCCCAAGAGGGGGAGGGGGGGAGAAAAGACUUUUUAGAGCUUUUCUUUUUAUAAAACCUUUUUAGCUUUGUUUAUUUCUUAAUAAUUAUUAUUUGUGCUCUGAAAAUUCCACUAAAAUUUAUUUACGUAUUUUAGGCUUUUAGGAAAUAUACAAAAAUCCUCCAAGCCUUAUUUGACUUUUAACUUUGCACAUUUUAAUUGUUGGAGGCUUUCACAUGGAUUUUAAUUAUUCUAUGCAUAAUUUUGAGGAUGUAUUUUAGAGUCGUUUUGGGACGCGACAGAUUUGAUUACGGAUCUGGAACCUUUGCGAGCAUCCGCACUUUCAGGAUGAAAUUAAGCCCUGAAAAGUGCACCUUCGGACUACCGUCAGGGAAGUUGCUUGGCUUUAUGGUGUCCCAUAGGGGCAUACAAGCCAACCCGGAGAAAAUCAACGUCAUCCUCAACAUGAAACCGCCAAGCUCCUGGAAAGAUGUUCAAAAGUUGACUGGUUGCAUGGCAGCGCUCAGCCGGUUCGUCUCACGACUUGGCGAGCGGGGGAUGCCCUUCUUCAUGCUGCUAAAGAAAACCGACAAUUUCCAGUGGGGACCCGAAGCACAAAAAGCCUUUGAAGACUUCAAGAAACUUCUCACCACUCCACUGGUCCUAGCUUCACCACAUCUGCAAGAGCCGCUGUUGUUAUACGUGUCGGCAACUUCCCAGGUUGUGAUCACGGUUCUGGUUGUUGAGCGUGAGGAGGAAGGCCAUGUCCAAAAAGUCCAAUGACCGAUUUAUUUCGUCAGCGAAGUUUUGGCCGACUCCAAGACAAGAUAUCCUCAGGUUCAAAAGUUAUUAUAUGGUGUUUUAAUUACCGUCAGGAAAUUAUCUCACUACUUCCAAGGCCACUCAGAUACGGUGGAUACAUCGUUUCCACUCGGGGAUAUACUUCACAAUCGCGAAGCAAAUGGGCGGAUCGCAAAGUGGGCCUUAGAGUUGAUGUCUUUGGAUCUAUCCUUCAAGCUGCGAACUUCGAUCAAGUCCCAAGCUUUAGUAGACUUCGUCGCCAAGUGGACCGAGUGCCAAGAAGACACGCCUGCGGAAAAGACAGAGUAUUGGACUAUGCAUUUUGACGGGUCAAAGAGGCUUUCAGGCAUUGGAGCGGGGGUUGUUCUAAUUUCCCCGACUAGAGAGAGGUUGAGCUACGUGUUGUGGAUACAUUUUUCUGCGUCUCACAACGUGGCGGAAUAUGAGGCGCUUCUUCACGGGCUAAGGAUUACGAUCUCCUUGGGAAUUCGGCGUCUGAUAGUUCAUGGAAACUCUCAGUUGGUUGUUAAUCAUGUCAUGAAAGAGUGGUCCUGCCUUGAUGAUAACAUGACCGCCUAUCUGCAGGAGGUACGCAAGUUAGAAGAUAAAUUCGAUGGCCUUGAGCUACCCCACGUUCUUCAACAUAAUAAUGAGGCAGCCGACCGGCUGGCUAAUUUUGGUUCAAAACGAGAAGCAGCUCCUUCCGACGUGUUCGUUGAACAUCUUUAUGAGCCAACCGUACCAAGGAAAGAAAUAAUCGAGGCCACGGACACUCAAGAAGUAAGCAUGAUUGAAGCCGACUGGAGAGAGCCCCUCAUAAGAUUUUUGACCAAACAAGAACUCCCUCAAGAUAAAGACGAAGCCGAGUGGAUCUCCAGGCACAGCAGACUUUAUGUCGUACAUGAGACCGAGCUGUACAAGAAAAGUCCAUCAGGAAUCCUGUAACGCUGUGUGUCUUUUGAGGAGGGAAGACAAUUGCUAAAGGAUAUGCAUUCAGGCAUCUGUGGCAAUCACGCUGCCGCACGAACCAUAGUUGGCAAGGCUUAUCGACGAGGUUUUUUCUGGCCGACAGCUAUAUCCGACGCCGACAAAAUUGUGCGAACAUGUGAGGGUUGUCAAUUUUUUGCCUGACAGACUCAUCUACCGGCUCAGGAGUUGCAAACCAUCCCGUUAUCUUGGCCAUUCGUGGUUUGCGGGCUCGACAUGGCCGGCCCGUUUAAAAAGGUUGUCGGUGGUUAUACUCAUCUCUUUGUGGCUGUUGACAAGUUUUCCAAGUGGAUCGAAGCCAAACCGGUCAUCACAAUCACGGCAGACAUGGCUAGAGAUUUCUUCAUCAACAUUGUGCACCGGUUUGGGGUACCCAAUCGGAUCAUCACCGAUAAUGGCACUCAAUUCAUUGGUGGAGUAUUUAAAGAUUUUUGUGAGGACUUCGGCAUCAAAAUCUGUUAAGCCUCCGUAGCGCACCCCAUGAGCAAUGGACAAGUCGAACAUGCCAAUGAUAUGGUACUUCAAAGAAUAAAAGCACGAGUUUUUGACCGACUGCAUCCCUCUGCUGGCAAAUGGGUAGAACAGUUGCCAUCUGUCCUUUGGUCCCUGCGCACCACACCCAGUCGGGCUACGGGCCAGUCGCCUUUUUUUCUAGUCUAUGGAGCAGAAGCGAUGUUACCGAGCGAGGUGGAAUUCGAAUCUUUGCGAUUUCGUAACUUCAGCGAGGAGCGCUACGGAGAAGACCGAGUAGAUGAUAUCAACCGACUGGAGGAAGCCCAUGAAGCAGCCUUAAUUCAGUCGGCUCGGUAUUUACAAGGGAUGCGCCGUUAUCACAAUCGCAAUGUUCGAUCGCAAGCUUUCUUAGUCGACGACUUGGUUCUGAGGAAAAUUCAUACUACACGGGACCGGCACAAGUUAUCUCCCUUGUGGGAAGGACCGUUCAUAAUUUCUAAAGUUACUCGGCUAGGUUCUUACCGACUCAAACGUGAGGACGGUACUCAUAUCGACAACUCUUGGAAUAUUGAACAUCUUCGUCGUUUUUAUGCUUGGGUAUUACCUUUUGUAUCUUCCUCUUUGACUGCUAACAUCAAGUUUUUUCCUUGAGUUAUCAGUCGGGGGCUACUAUAAUAAUAUGGAGUGUGAUUUUUAUCAAUUCAAUUUGCUUACUUGAUUUAUCAUUGCCUAUAGCCCGCUUUCUCUACGGUUUUGCUGAACUUGUCAAGCCCGGGGGGCCUUUAGGGAAUUUUGGAGAAUAAUAGAUUCUAGGAUAACACUUUCUAAGGUUGAAAGGGAUGGCAUGGGUUAAGCAUCUGACUUUGGACCUUCGAGCUAAGUUAUUUAAUAAGGUCCUACUAAUUAAUUGGAAAUCCUUUUUACAAAUCUCCUCCUCAGAGCGCCCUGUAACCUUACUUUUUCUGAAUGUUGAUUUUUUGGCUUAGUCAAUGAGGACUGAAUGUUUUUUAACAACUUUUGUGGGUUUUAGGCUCAAUGAGGUUUGACAAAAACUUUUAAGAAAUCAGGAGCUAUGUUUAAAUCAUGAAGCACAAUAUAAAUUCAUCAGUAUUGUACAAAUUGUGCCUCCGUCAUCAUCACCAUUGUUAGAAUACAAUAUCAAUUAGUAUCAGUCUUUUCAUCAUCAGAGUUACUAGAUCCAGUCGGCCAGAGGUCGUUGUCCUGGAAUCUCUCAACAACAUCGGCAGCUAUCUUAUCGGUAGCUUUCUGUGCGUCAUUGAUAAGGUCAAGAGCAGUUUCUUCACUUGUCCCAUCUGCAAAGCCGUCAAUUGCAUCAAUAUCAAUCUUCGGGUACAAGGACUUGGUCAUCGCCAACGCCAGGCCUGCUCGCAUGCUUCCAGCUUCCUUGAUAUUCUUAAAAUAUGUAUCCGGAGCAAUCCUCAGCUUGUCGAAGAUCUUGGCAGUGUCAAAUGAACUCGGACUAUUGUUAUUAAAGAACUUGGAUUGGACGAGUGGUGUAGCGGCGUUGGCGACUUCAUCUCUAGCUCCUUCAAGCCUCUUGAUUUUGCUGACCAAGACGUCGAAUUGAGCCUGGGAUUUUAUUUUAUGAUCUGCACAAGUGAAUUUGCAUCAGCAAGUGAGCAUGGAGAUAAGAGUGAUUUUUUUAAGUUCCAGCUGCAAGUACCUUCGACAUCUUUUAGGGCCGAGUCCCUCUGCUUUGUCAGUUCGCCCUUAUCCUUUUCCAGCGCCUUGAUCCGCUUUUCCUGAUCGGAUAUCUUGGUCGUUUGCACUGUAUUGCAUUUUGUUGGUUAGUUGCACAUGGAUAGCAGCAGGAAACGAGUCAGACAAGGUUGAGAGUCACCUUUUGAUGAACCACUCAGGUCGAAGUUGGAGUCUUGGAGCUCGGCGAUCCGGUCUCUCAGAUCAUGCUCGGUCUUCCUAGCAAGUUCCUUGGCCUCACGAAGCUGGUCUGUGGUGGCUUCAAGGGUUCCAAGGUGGGGAACUAACUUUUCGAGGGUUGCAGUCUUCGCCUCAUUUCUAAGAUGGAUUCUCUGCACCACAAAUUUAUCUUUGUUCAAGUAAAGUGGCUGACAAGAUGAUUGAGGCUGUGUAAACGUAGACUUACAUUUACAAGACGAGUAGCUUGGCCGAGUGUCUUUUUCAGCUGGCAUACUUCCUCGUCUUCUUUCUGCUUAUUUAUUACAAUUCCUUGUGGCCGCAUUUCAUCGUCCCACCACUUGACUAAUAUUGGUGGGCGAGAAUCUUCAGCCGAUCGUAUCCGGAGGACCUCUUCUUCAUCACCAAUCGUUGGCCCUUAUAUAUUCAUGAAUAAUGGUGAAGUAGUUGAAUAAAGGUUGUCGGAUCAAAGCAAAUUUGGAGGACUUAUUUACCUGUGAUAAUUUCCGGUCGGGGACGAGCAGGUCCUUGUACCUUGGCAGGAGAAUUAGUUUAAAGGCCAGCACCAUAGUCCGUUUUGGGAGGGCUGUUGGCUUGAGCUUCCACUUCUGGGAUAUCUCUAUUCUGUUCUGUACCCGACUGGUUUCUAGUCGGGGGCUCCUGAUCAGCACUGGCUUCUGCUUUGGCUAACUGGUUUCCAGUCGGGGGCUCGUUGCUGGUAUCUACAUUGCCGGUUGCCGGUUGAUUAUUACCCGGGCGGUCUUCGGUAGUCGGCCUAGUUUCUACUGAAGGACCAGUCUCUGUGCUAGUCGACGUGGGGUCUUUUCCAGAGGGAUCUAUGUUAGAUGGUUUUCUACAUUUUUGAAGACAUGCUAUCAGUUCUGUUUCAAUAGUGAGUGACUAGCAAAACAGAGGAAAUUGCCAGAGGACACAUACCUGGACGACUUCCUGAUUUUUGGCAUGGGACGACUUGAUGUUUUCUUCUUCAUAUUGGUUUGCUUUGGCUGUUUUCCAGUCACCCCUUUGUUGCCCGUCUUUCCCGCAUCAUCACCUUCGUCGUCACUUGAAAUCAACUUUCUCUUACGAGAAUCUGACUGGUUAGUUGAUCUUGAAGCGUUGGGUUGGACGUCCGACUAAAUCUUCAGCCCUCCACUGGUUUGGCCAGUGUGCCGGCGAGGUGAGAGCCGUUGAGCGAUUGGAGGAUCGGACUUCAUCAAAGUAAAUUCCUGUGCAUGAUAUUCCAAGUUUUCAGUUGACUUUACAGAAGAUAAAAGCAUGCUUUGAGAAAAGCUGAGUUGUAUAAUACAUACCUGUGGAGGAGGGUUGAAGGCAUUGUAUGGCACAACUGGUAAUAAGUGUGAAUAGCUGACCACGAUGGCAUUUGAGAAGAUUUUGUACAUUCUCUCCUGCAUAAUUUUGAACUCAAGAGACUCUGGGUCCUCUCGGUUGGGGUCAUGCUUGCCAUCAAACUCAAAGGCUGUCCUGGAUCUUUCCUUGAUUGGUGCCAGCCGGCUCUUGAUGAAGUGCCGGGUGAUUUGCUCCCCCUGCAGACCCUGUUCUUUCAGCUUCAGCAUCCGAUCCAAGAAGUCGAGCGCUUGGGCGAUCUCUUCUCCCAUAGGCAGUGAGUUCCAGGUAUCGCGAUAUACUAGGGGAAGACAAGUGUAUCCUGAUUUUUGGCAUGGGACGACUUGAUGUUUUCUUCUUCAGAUUGGUUUGCUUUGGCUGUUUUCUAGACGACUUCCUGAUUUUUGGCAUGGGACGACUUGAUGUUUUCUUCUUCAGAUUGGUUUGCUUUGGCUGUUUUCUAGACGACUUCCUGAUUUUUGGCAUGGGACGACUUGAUGUUUUCUUCUUCAGAUUGGUUUGCUUUGGCUGUUUUCCAGUCACCCCUUUGUUGCCCGUCUUUCCCGCAUCAUCACCUUCGUCGUCACUUGAAAUCAACUUUCUCUUACGAGAAUCUGACUGGUUAGUUGAUCUUGAAGCGUUGGGUUGGACGUCCGACUAAAUCUUCAGCCCUCCACUGGUUUGGCCAGUGUGCCGGCGAGGUGAGAGCCGUUGAGCGAUUGGAGGAUCGGACUUCAUCAAAGUAAAUUCCUGUGCAUGAUAUUCCAAGUUUUCAGUCGACUUUACAGAAGAUAAAAGCAUGCUUUGAGAAAAGCUGAGUUGUAUAAUACAUACCGGUGGAGGAGGGUUGAAGGCAUUUUAUGGCACAACUGGUAAUAAGUGUGAAUAGCUGACAACGAUGGCAUUUGAGAAGAUUUUGUACAUUCUCUCCUGCAUAAUUUUGAACUCAAGAGACUCUGGGUCCUCUCGGUUGGGGUCAUGCUUGCCGUCAAACUCAAAGGCUGUCCUAGAUCUUUCCUUGAUUGGUGCCAGCCGGCUCUUGAUGAAGUGCCGGGUGAUUUGCUCCCCCUGCAGACCCUGUUCUUUCAGCUUCAGCAUGCGAUCCAACAAGUCGAGUGCUUGGGCGACCUCUUCUCCCAUAGGCAGUGAGUUCCAGGUAUCGCGAUAUACUAGGGGAAGACAAGAGUAUCCGGGAAGCGCUGGCUCGGGGUUUUGCACAUAAAAUCAGUUCGCGUGCCAACCUUUGUUCGAGGUCUUGAAUGGCAUGGAGAAGUAUUUUUGGCUCAAGGUUCCCCUCAGUUGAAAUCCGGCUCCCCCAACUACGCAUGGUUUGUUUUUGUUUGGCUGGGGCUUAAGGAAGAAGAUGUGGCGGAAUAGAGCGAAAUGCAGCCUAACCCCCAGAAAGGCUUCGCAAGCAUGGAUGAAAUUGGCGAUGUGGACUAUGGAAUUAGGGUUUAGGUGAUGCAAGCUGAACCCAUAGAAAUCCAAAAUUCCCCGGAAGAAACUUGAGGUCGGAAGAGAAAACCCGCUAUAAAAGAAAUAGGAGAAUACCACCACCUCGUGUGUGUCGGGGGUCGGAAACAUUUCACCGCACGCUGGACGCCACCUGAUGAUUUCUUUUGCCGGAAGAACGCCGUGCGCCACCAUCUCCUUCAAGUUCCCCUCUUUUACGUCGGAGGGUGCCCACUGGCUUUCAAAGCUUUGUCUCUCUUCCACCAUGGAUGUGAACUAGAUGGUAUGAUUUGGUCCGGAAUGUGGUUGGGAAUGGAUGGGAGAUUGAUGUGGUGGUUGCAUGGGAAUUUUUUUGGAGUUUUGGAGGACGGAUUGGAGCGAAUCGGUGAACCCUAGCUUCACCGGCGUGGUUUCGCACUGUAGCAGAGAAUGGGGAAAGUGGCGAGAGUUUCGGCGGGGAAGACGAAGCGACGUUUGGCCUUUGGUGUUAUUAGGGUAUCGGAAGCACUAAUGGGCCUGGGCCUAAAACAGUACUUCAGCCCAAUUUUUCUAUCAGCGUGGCUAAGUUGUGAUCCUUAGGGACUUAGGCAUUUUGCUUUGGCAAUACUUGCUCGCACCAGUGUGGCCCAAUGCUACUAAAAUCCUCUUUGACGUAGUUAGAUAAUUCUUUGGAAUUACUACGAUGUAAAUAAAAAGGUGCCCAACGGAAAAGUGUUAUACUAAUUUUGCAAGCUUUUUUAGGAUGCAAAAAGCUGUUAGGGUUUUAUUAAGAUGACUGGUUUUUGAACAGUCAUUCUCUCGGCAUGUUAUAUGCUUAUUUUGAUUAUGGCAUGAGUUAUAGCUUAGGCUAUUUAGACUCUUCAAUUGUCAUGAUUUAUACCAUAUUUGAUGGAUCUUUUUGAGAGUUUUUACUCGGAUUCUUGUCAUAUGUGUUGAUUUAUGGACCUUUAGAGUAUUUUUUACUCGGGCCUCCUUAUAACUCCAUUUUUGGUAUAUUAAAGUUAAAGCAGUCGGCUGGAUGUUUUAUUAAACAUCGCCUAUGCUUAGCUGUAUGAUGUUUUGAAUAAUUCGGUUGUAAAACCACUCGGUUGGAUGUUAUUUGCAACUUGACUAUAUGUUUAGUUUUUAACUAAUCACAUAGUCGGGGGCUACACUAAUUAGGUGCAUCUAGUCAAUGCACCCGAUUUUUUAUUUUCAGCCCUUCACAGUCUUUGAUUUUGGUGCUCGGGAGAUCAAGGCAGAAGGAGUCGAAGUACUCGGAUUAUCGUUUUGGAUUACGAGAGAAGACUAUUUCGUCGACUGUAAAGGUCUCUGUAAAGGUCUCAGGGGUUACUGUGGAGAUUAUGGAUACCCCAUAACUACACGGCAUGUAUAGUCCAACUGGGUAUGGGGUGCCAUGUAUAGAUAGAAUAUCUUUAAAACGACUCGGGUUGAAUUCCAAACUUGUGCGUCAAGAAAAUACCCGGGAUCCUAGUCGGUUACAAUUGUAUCUUAUCUGUAACUACCUAUUCUGUUAGGGAUAUGGACUGUGCUUUGUAAUACGGACCCCUUCCCCUAUAUAAGGAGGGGUCCGGGUGCCUCUAGGGGCACGAUUUUCUUCCAGAUCAUACGAUCAAUAAUAUACUCGGCGGAUCAAUCCCCGGACAGGAGUAGGGUAUUACUUCUUGGUUAAGAAGGCCUGAACCUGUAUAAAAUUCCUUGUGUGUAAACCCAUCCACUUUUCUAGCUUGAUAGCCACCCCCUUUUAGUAUUGCCGAAAUCUUGUUUUGACAAUCCCUUUCCAGACCGAAAAGAAAAACAAGUUGUCGCAAAGAAAAACAAACUGAGAAGGAGGACAAAAGUAGCAGACGAGAGGAGACAGGAAAAGCCACUUGAAAUGAAAUGGAGAAGAAAAAAGAAGAUGGGAGGACAAAGAGAAGAACAUUGGGAAGCCCAAACAGGCUUACAUUGCAAAGGUAAAAGGAGAUAACAACGACGCGACUUAGGAGACAAGAGACACAUAAAUAAAGGAGACUACUAGCCAGGCCUUGAAGAGGCCGGGCGACGAUAAGAGGACACAGCAUAAAAGAAAUGAUACAAUGGGCCAGGCCUAGGAUAGCUGAAAGCACCCGAAGCUACUGUCCACCGGGCCAAUCGGCAAGAAGCGAUUGAGAGGGCAUUGCUCAUGCAUUUGGGUCAGUUUGCUCCUUCUUCCUACUAAAUUCCUUCUCAGCUUCAAGAACCAACUUUUUUUCGUCUAAGCCGCAGAAGUUGGCCAAUUCUUUGAUCUUCUUCUUCGGGGUUGGCUGGGGCGUUGCCAGGAUAGGCAUCUCCACAAUUUCUUCCAGUUUUUUCAGCUUCUUCUUUGGCCUGGACUUACUGCCGUUGUUGCUGCACGAACCUGUUUUGUUUUGAGCUACCACCCGAUCGCUGGCUCUUGCAACAGGAUUUAUCCACUUACCAUUGUAGGUGUCGCGGAUCCUUGCGUUGCGGCGGACGUAUACCGUGAUGUUGAGGUUUGGUAACGUUCCCACCAGCGGCAGCAGCUGGUCAAUGCGUGGGUCAUUUGGCUUGUUCAGGGCAUCAUCGAGCUCCUUCUGUACGUCAUGCGCUUCUUUGGCCUUCCGAUCAUACGAUGCCACCCUCUCAGCUAGUGGAUGCCGAAUCAGGGAGUAGGCGCCUUCAACAUGAGGUGAAGUAGCCAUCGAUUGACUCAUGCCAAAGACAUCAAAGCGGGGAUAUUCUGUGAUUGGGAGAGUAGGCGGCAUGGUGCAGAUAGAUGGGGGGGAAGGGAGGAAGGACAGGAGGGGUUCGAGCUGGAGGAGGUAGAUGGUUUGAGCGAGGAAAACUUGUUUGAUGGCUGGCUGGCUUGUUAGCGGGGCAAGAGCGAGUGGUGUGACAUCAACGGCAAUCGGGCUGACCGGGAUGGAUGCUUUAGUGGAGUAGCGGCAAUCAAUGGAUGGGAGGAGUCCUAGAGUUGGGCCAUCUAAAGGCAUUGGGCUAAAAAGCAAGGCGCAGGAAGAGGUUCUAGCAAGAACGCCAGUGUUCAUCUAGGCUAUUGAUUUGGUUGACAGAAAUCCAGAAGUGGAUAGCAAGACUCAGUCUGACUGUAACCUUGUACGCAGCUUGCUCAAAAAUGAUAGAGGCAUGUGCAGUUGCAACAGGCGGAGCGGGGAGAGCUAAUUUAGGCAACAAGGUGAAAAAGGCAAGGAGAUCACCUAGAUUAGGAUAUGCAUUUCGAGCAACCGCGUGCUGGGCUCGGAGAGCCAUGUUGCCGAAGACUCCAAUAUAGCAUGAUAUGGUUUUGGACGAGGAACCUUGGGAGAAGUUGCUUUCAAGAGCAGGAACUUGCCCUGCAGUCCUUGUCUGGUCACCGAUGUCAUCCGCGGGUGCCCGUGGAGCCCUGUUGGACCUGCUGUGAGCCCGAUGAGAGGGUGGUGGAGGUGGCGGCGGCGGGGCAUCACUGUUAUCCCAGACCUCAUUGAUGAAGAUGUCGGUGAAGAUGCCUGUCUCAUUCACCUUGUGGUAGGCCAAAUGAUGUGGGAUAUGCUUGAGGGCCUCCACCUUGAUCAUGGCGAAGAUGGCUGCGAACUCGUGACCGUGUAAGCACUCGUGGUCUACAUUCACGAGGUUUGCAAAACCCAAAAUGCAGGACGACUACACCCCGCAUGUGCCAAAAUUCCAAACGAAACUUCUCCAAGGUGAGCAGACGAUGUAGCGGUAGAAGAAGGUGAAAGCGUUCUCUCCACGGUUGUGGGGAAAAAGGUGAUCUCCCGCCCUUCCUCCACAAUGGGGCUCAGGCGGAAAUCCCUAGCUUGGUCCUCUUGGUGCAAGAAGAUGGCGAGUAUGUGCCCCACCCCUCCUGCUGCAAAGCGGACCCUAGCUCCGCCCAGGUGAUGGUGGAACACCCUUCUGAGCCAUGGUACGAGGGAGACCAAAGGCGGUUCAAUGGUAAUGGCAGUGACAUCAAGGAUUGCCGGCCAUGGAUUGCCGGCUCCAUGAUGCGAGUUUUGGCGGGGAGGGGAUGAGACAGCGCUGGGCGUCGAAGAGUAUUUGAAAUCGAGCAGAGAGGACAAAGGGAGCGAAAUUGGCCCAUCGACCUGCAUAACUAGCAGAUGAUAGGAUCCCUAUAGGAGACUUUGCGAUGGGAAAAGGAAAGGCAUCUGAAGAAGUGUUUUUCAAGAUUUUUUGGCUUGCCGGGGUAAACUAGGUGACAGUGUUUGUGGUUUGUUGUAGUUAUGGUGGAAGAGGUGGAUAGGAAAGCUUCUUUAUAGGAGUUAUGGUGCUGUUGAAGGGAUCCUAUUGGCUGCGAAUCUAGGGUGGAUUUAUCUUGCCCAUUAGUGCUGGAUUGCAUGCUAACCUUGCUUAGCUUCUCGUGAGCCAUCAUUAGCUUCGAAGGACACUUCGAGAGAAUCUUCUGCUCGGAGGUGCACGAGUCACUAUGCAAGCGUGGCGAACAUCGAGCUGAAAAGCUCUGUCUGUCCUAGGGCUGGAAAGUGAUCAAAAUGCAUUCGAAAGAUAGACUGCCGUGCAGCAGAACUUCAGACACAAUUUCUAAUGAGGCUACUAUGAAGAGAAAGUUUCCCGCUCUGGUUUGUUGAACCUGGAAAGCGUUAGGGUUGGCACCAAACUCGCCGGAGAGGAGGAAGGUGACUCUUUCAAGCGAAAGGAUAACACCCGAUGUCCUAACGAUCGCCAGCAACCGAAUCGGCGAACGCAGGGAGGGGAUGAUGGGGUCACACGUGCCAGAAAAGUAUUUGGAAAGCAUGGCAGAUUCAAAGGAGGUGCCGCGAGACCCGUUCAUUUUUGAACCAAGGACGGUGCUGUUCCUGGAACAGCGAACAAUAAGAGGAUUGGAGGCGAACUAACGAAGAGGAAGAGCUAGGGGGAAGGGGAGAUGCGGAGAGAGCUGGGGAAGAGAAGGAGAAGAAUAGGGAAGGGGAGACCUAACGACUUAGACAGACCGAAACCCUAGCGGACGACGGGAAGAAAAGAGACGAAGAAAAAGAAGAAAAAGAGAAGAAAAGGAAGUAAUGGAAAGAAAAACGGCGACAACUUGCAUUCAAUGCGGAGUAAUGGUGGGGACAAACUUAGAUGAUUGCCGAGGGAAGGCACCCGCUGUUGACUGCUGCCGGCGGCGCCCGUGGUGCUAUUUCCCAUUGUUGCGAAAGCUUUUGCCUUCAACGAUGUCGCCGCCGGUGGUGUUGUUUGGGUGGUUGGUUGGCCGGCGGGGCCUGGUUGGCCCACCGUGAGGUGAAUGGCGGAGCCGGAAUGGCUUCCACCGUUCUUUAUUGCCGGAGCCCGGAGCUUAGCUCAUCCAUCCAGUAUCCCCCCACUCUUUAUGAUUUUCCACUCUUGGCUGUCACUUUGUUGUAACGAGUGUGCUACUGCUACCCAGUGCUACUUGGUUUGCUCACUCAGAAAAGUCGAACUUGCAGCUAACAACAUACUGUGCACUAAACCUUUUCCGGCUGCCACACAGAGUUUAGGAAAUCGUACUUGUUGCUCGACAGGAUCAAAUCAUACUUAUGACAGGAUCAAAUCAUACUUAUUUAGCUAGCUAACUCGUUCUCCAUCUGCUUAUAUAAUAGUGUUGUCUGUUUCCUUUUUAUUCAAAAGUGUUAAUCAUGCUGAGAUAGUUGCUGAUUAGUCCCCGAUACGAUUUGUGUGCAUUGUUUGUGUUGUAAGCCUAUAAGCUAACGGAGAACUUCCUUCAGUGCAGACGCUACUUGCAGCUAAGAAUAUAUUGUGUGGUUCCAUCUGUACUUGCCAAUUAUUUUUUUAGUUGAUACCUUGAGCUAUCGUCCUGUUUACCUUCAGAAUUUGCAUGAUUCAUGCGUUGAAUAUAUAAGCACAUAAUGAUUUAAUUUAUUCCAUAAAUAAAUCAUGACAUUGCAGAUGUAAACUAGUGAUUUAAUUUAUUUCAUAAACAAAUCAUGACAUCGCAGAUGUAAACUAGCGUAAUCGUAUCAUAUGAUCUACGCAUGUAAACUAGAGAGUAAACCAUGCACAGAUCGAAUAUGUGAAACAUGUUGAAUGCAUACCGAAGGUUUUGGAAAACUAGCUUCUCAGCAGGAAGGACUCAUGGUACCAUGCGUUGACGACAACGCACAUCACGCGAGCGAAGAGGAAGACGAGCCAUUGUGGACGAAUAGGAAGCAAUCGCGUAAAGCGCUUCCCAAAAUCCUUAUUGCCGCCUUCUCCCGGUGCAGGACGUCGAAGCCGAAGGUUCCAGAGACCUAUUCUCCCGAUCACCGAUGCACGCUGGCGAGCGGGAUGGAGUAGACUAUGAGCAACAGCAUAAUACAGAGGAGAAGGCAACCCUAUAUUGAUUUCGCGUGUGUUGCGUGGAGGCGGUUACUCGAUUUAUAUAGAGAUAUCAGGACACUUGAUCAGGGGCGCCGACACGAUCUCCACUACGCGCAACCGAACUGGAUAAGUCGCGCGUAACUUAUCCAGAUUUUAUGCUGUUUUCACGCACCAGAUUAUUUGGCAUGUUUCCCAGAAAGAAAACAGAAUUUCCUGUAGCAAAAUAAAACUGCAGAAGGAAACAAAACCGAAUUUCCUGCAACAAAAUAAAACUGCAAAGGAGACCACAUUUGCGUAAGGGUGAGGAACCAAUUUUGACGGACCAUUCUACACGCACGUCGUGCACUCGCUUGGCGAGGCGAGGCGAGCAAGCGUGCGUGUUCCUUUCGUUCUCUCCACCUCAUAUGCCUCAAGUGGCUAGGAGAGCAUCCCCCUUAUAAGGAGGUAUCUCCCUCUUCUAGAAUUUGCAAGGUGAUACUAAACUCCCCAUGCAUACCAUCCUAUAAGAUGGACUUUUGUGAUUUUCCAAAAAAAUAAUCUUCGUAUGGGCUAAGGACCAUCUAUUAAUUCCAACAUCGUGAGUUCACUAAUUAUAUUAAAAAUCAAAUAACUUAAACAGAGGAUUAAAAAAAAAGCAUGAUUGGCUCUGACAAUGGGAUGGUGGGAACAUGUGGCCCAGCAUAUUUGCUCUGAAACCAUAAUGUUAGAUCAUUUAUCUUAGGAUCUACUAAUUCAUUAGCUUAACACAUGAUCAUCUUGAUUUAAAUGUGGAAUUGAAGCCAUAAUUGCUAUAUUUGUUUUGUUCUUCUUCCUAUUUCUUAUGUUGCUUUGAUUACACAGUGUACUGCAUGUAAAGUUUUAAAUCUCCUAUUAGAGCUGCAGCUAUCUCCAGAGGUAGCUGUUUAAAAAGGGAAUCAACAGCGACACCGCAUGGCAAGACAUGCGCUUGAGAGGGAGAAGAGCUGACAACAACGCAGCUCGGUGGUUGGAUAGAACCAGCACCACUAAGAUCAGGGGUCCAAUGAGAUCAGCACCAAGCAUUCCAAUCUAGCAUUAUUUUUGUUGAAAUCAGAUCAAAAUGCAUUCACCCGCAUUGUAAGAAAGCCCAAAAGCAUACAGAGUCUUAUACAAAAUAGAAAAAAAAAGAGGAAACACUACUUUCUAUAGAACACAUAAAUGCCAGCAAAGUCUCAUCCUACAAAGGACACAACAGGUAAAAGCAGAGAAACCAGAGAUAGCACGGCUUCAGCUGGUUCAUUUUCUCCAUCAGCAACUUACACCAUCUUCGCAUAGUGACUUGAUUUUCUUCGCUUAGUAUGAUGCUCCACCUCUGAACAAAGGGCAGAGCUCUGUAAGAAAUUUGGAAACAGAAUUUGGCCAAACAUCAGAAAAAACCCAGUCAUUCCUAGUUAACCAUAACACCCAGCAAACACUAGCAAUAAGCAUCACCCAAACCCUAAUCAAUUUUUCCCUUUCAUCAAGCCCAAGCUCUCUCUAAUUUUGGUAGAGCUAUUUUUAAACCUAAGGUAUAUCUUACUACACACCAAGUGAAGGCUGCUAAAGGACAUUGUCAUGGUUACGGAUAAGGCAUACCUCCUAUCCUACGACUUAUGAAAUAUAUGCGGAUAUAGUAUACCUUCACGUACACGGAUUGUUCCCGUAUACGUUGUAGGAAUCUGUUACAAAUUAUAGAAAAUAUCCCUACGAGUCAAGCAAUUUCCAAAGUCCAGCUCGGAGGGGACAGAGUUUCUGUUAUAUCGUACAAGAUCUGAUGUCAACGAGUUUGACUUGGAGAUCAAGAUGAUCCACGGUAUAAAAGGGAUCCCCAGGGAGGGGUGCAAGGCAUCGAAUCUCAUAGCCAACACACCCACCAUAGUUUACGAAGUCGAAGUACGCGAAGCCAAGUCGCCGGGAGAUCUCGUCGAAUACAUAGACUACGAUCUUGUCGGUAACAUCGAAUUCGUCUACUUCCAUUUUAAUAUGUGGUUUUUCCAUAUCAAUCUUAUAUAAACUAGAGUAGGGUUAUUACCUGAUAAGGGGCCCGAACCAGUAUAAUCCUUGUCUUCUAUUUGCUUGAUGUCAUAUUACGUAGAUCCUCGUUCCAACAUACCCCAAUACCAUAAUCAUCCAGUCCACGAGUAUCUCUCGUCGAUAGUGGUGCGCCAGGUAGGGGGACUUGGUGCUCAAGGUUCUGCCAAUAUGACUUCAAGCCACCCCGACAGCAGUACCAAAACCGGCGUCAAUCAAGGAGCUUCUACCUCGACAUCACUGGUGUGGACUCAAGUCGCAUCUAUUGCCUUUCUAGUCUACACCGUUACGCCAAUCUCGACUGGCCCAAUUACUAUCGGGAAUGAGAACGGCACGGCUACGACUUUGAGAAACGACAUCUCGCCGACAAUUCCUCCCACUUAGAAGAAAUCCUCAAGCGGCCGAAUUCUGUCAUCCGCACAGAAACCGACAAGGAUAUCUACCUAGAAACCCAGGUCUUGGUGUCCUGUCGAUAAGACAUCCAAGCAUACUCUAGAAGAUUACCCGGUGAUUGUUUGUAUUUCUUAGCGACACUACUGGGAAUAUAAUUCCCCGCAAUAGCACUAGAAAUAAUCCUGGUAUAUUAUGGUUACAGAUGUGAUCCGCAAGCACACGGAUGUACCAUUGUAGCAUUUCACCCGGGAGUAUUCCAAGGUAUAGUAUUUAUUUUAUCCCAAGGGAAGAUAUGAUAAGAGAGAACUAUGCUAACAAUUCAUAUUUUACUCUAUUACAUAUACGUCAAAGUCUACGUAGGGGUUAGUUUAGUUCAAAGGGUAGGUUGACACAUAUAAGAAAGAACUAAGAACUACUCUUACUAAAAUAUAGUCUAAGCUAAGUGGAGAAAGAAUAAGAAAAGUAUCAUUCAUGUACUUCUAGUAUACAUACAUCCUUAGUCUAUACUUGCUAUUAUACAGUCAUGUAACCAAUACCCCGUACCCAGUGUCCUCCUGGUGUUUCGAGAAGCCACCCCUGACUGCCGAGUUCCUUACGACAGCCCGUCAUGACCAUACAACCGGGGCUAAAUACGGAGGAAUACCCUUCCCAGGAAUUAACUUAGGACUAUAUACACGCGCGGAGGAAUACCCGUACUGAGCUGUCACCAUCAGCGGCCCACCUCUCAUCCGUAGCAUAUAACCCCAAUUAAUGGUAUCUAAUAAUCUAAGCACUGCGCUUACAUUACUAAAUACUACUCUACAUCCUUGCAACCGACAUAGAGCAACCGAAUAAUCGGACACUAAACCCACACCAAUACACCUAUCUGGAAAGCUAGUUACAUGCCUAUAUUGAUUCAAGUAUAAAGUAAAGUUGGCACUCAAGUAAUAUGAAUGGAAUAAAUUACCAAAGUGUAUAAAGAAGAAUAUUCUAUUAAAUCAAUAAGUCUUGCAAAAGAAGAGAGGAAAGCUGCUAGAGCCAUACCCGAAAUCUCCUAAAGACUUGAGGACUAUGAAGACUAUUCUAUUUUCUACUCCACUAGCACUAGAACUACUAAACAAUACUUGAGAGAGCUCUUGAUCUUCUUCUUGAGGUGUGUGAGGGAAUGAAUGAGAGGAGGGGUAUUUAUAGGUGGAGAGGUGCCUUGGGUGUGUGGAGAUGCUCCAAGCAUCCUAGGAGCAUCUUUGCUCUCCUCAUGACAAGUGGCAUGAUGAAGCAUCCAAGGAGCAUCUUUCUCCCUCCUUGUGACAAGUGUCCACGGCAGUUGCUUCAGGUAGAAACGGUCAUAACCGCCAUUGGAUGUCGAUAACUACCAGCCUGUGGAAUUUCUAGGCCAUCUGGGCUGCUUUUGGUUCGGCCGAACCUAGGGGUUUGGCCGAACCCUGGUCUGGUCCAUUUGGCCCAGAACUUGGUAGUUGUACUCCUCGUUUAUUCCUCAUCCCAUUGGUGUGAAUUAUGGGCUUGUUUGCUAAUGUUAAUUCUGUAUUAUCAGCCCAACUAUCCACAAGUCUACUUCUCGAUAGCGUCUGAUUGAUCGUUCGUCUAUUUUCUAUCGAUUCUCCAUUUAUAUGUUCUUCUCCUGCAUACAUGUUAGUAGCAUAAUAUAUAGUGGAAGUAGAUAUUUUAUUUAGAAUUUAUGCAUUGCAAGCAUAGCUAGUCUUCAUACAUUGGGUAAUAUUGACGGUCGAAACUAGUCGAUAACGACCAUCAACAGUGAUAGAACGCAAAGUCUGCUCCUCAUCGCAGGGGGCUGCUACCAAGAUGAAAUGGUCCCAACACAAGAUAGAGUUCUCAGAGGCGGACCACCCGAAAAUUGCAACCAUACCUGGCAGAUAUUCAAUCGUGGUCGAGCCCACUAUUCGGAACAUCAAGCUAACACGGGUUCUCAUCGACGACGGCAGUUCCAUCAACCUGCUUUUCGCCAGUACCUUAGAUGCCAUAGGGAUACCACGAAGCGAGCUGACACCCACUGAUCAGCCCUUCCAUGGGAUCACUCCAGAAUCAUCAUCCAAGACGUUGGGUAAGAUCACACUACCCGUCACUUUUGGACAAGCCGAUAACUUCCAAACAGAACAGAUCACCUUUGAUGUCAAGGAGUUCGACACUGCAUACAACGCCAUCAUUGGGAGAGGUUCACUCGCGAUGUUCAUGGCAGCAUCUCACUAUACCUAUCAAGUGCUCAAAAUGCCAGGACCAAAAUGGACAAUCACUAUCCAGGGAAACGCCAAGUUGGCGGUGUAGUGCGACAAGCGGAGCCUCAACAUGGUAGAGUAUACUCCCAAUCUGCACGCCACAACUGAGCAACCCAAUAAAGUGAGCAAGCCUAACAAGACGCCAAAACGAGACGAUGCAAUCAAAAUCAUACCAUUGACCAGCUCCAACCCCAACAAUACCGUCAAGAUCGGGGCAGCACUGGACAAAAAAUAGGAACUCGUGCUCAUCACCGUCCUCCGCGAUAAUGCAGACGUGUUCGCUUGGCAACCGUCAGACAUGUCGGGAGUCCCCAGGGAGGUGAUGGAGCACAAACUGAUGGUUCAACCUGACGCCAAGCCAGUUAAGCAAAAACUACAAAGAUUCGCACCCGAUUAAAAACAAGCCAUACGGGAAGAACUGGACAAACAUCUCAAAGUUGGCUUCAUCAGAGAAGUCCUCCAGUAAUCCAGUAAUGCUACGCAAAGCCAACGGAAAGUGGAGGAUGUGUGUAGACUUCACCGACCUUAACAAGGCGUGUCCCAAGGACCACUUCCCUCCCCCUCGAAUAGAUCAACUAGUGGAUUCAACAGCCUGUUGUGAGUCGUUGAGUUUUCUUGAUGCUUACUCCGGCUACCACCAGAUCAACAUGGCAAAAGAGGACGAGGAGAAGAUGGCAUUCAUCACACCCUUCGGUGUAUUCUGCUACGCCAAGAUGCUGUUCGGAUUAAUAAGCAUAGGAAAUACCUAUCAGCGCGGGAUCCAGGAAGCACUUGGUGAUCAACUCGGACGAAACAUCGGGGCCUACGUGGUAGACAUCGUCGUCAAAACCAAGACGGGCGAUUUGCUAAUCGACGACCUAAGGGAAACGUUCGACAACCUCCGACGAUAUCAAAUGAAGCUUAACUCGGAGAAGUGCACAUUCAGAGAACCGUUAGGGAAAUUACUCGGCUUCCUAGUCCCCGGACAAGGAAUCGAGGUCAACCCUGAAAAGAUAAAGGGAAUCGAGAACAUGAAAUUGCCCACAAGACUCAGGGAGGUCCAGCGGUUGACAGGAUGCAUGGCUUCGCUUAGUCGUUUCGUCACAAGGAUGGGAGAACGAGGACAACCUUUUUUCACCCUGCUCAAGAAGCAGGACAAAUUCGAGUGGAGCUAAGAAGCCGAGAACGCGUUCAUCGCACUCAAGCGGUACUUGUCAACCCCCCUGUACUCGUUGCUCCACAAACUAAUGAAGAGUUAUUCCUAUAUAUCGUUGCCACGCCUUAUUCUGUGAGUACGGUUAAUGUCGUUGAGAGGGAAAGAGUACAAUACCCAGUGUACUACGUCAGCGAGGCCCUCCACGACGCAAAAACCAGAUACCCACAGAUCCAAAAACUACUCUACGCUGUGAUUAUGACAUCAAGAAAGCUACACCACUACUUCCAAGCCCACAAGGUCACUGUCAUCUCUUCCUUCCCUUUGGGUUUCUAGCUGAAUAUGCAGACUCAUCGUUGUCUGAAUGUGUGUGAAACUGUGCAUUGCUAGAUCAUUUAUGUGAAGCUUGGUUAUGCCACCAAAAAGGAGUAUUAAAAUGACAACAUCUCACCUAUAGGUGUAGAUUGAAGAUUGUAGCAAUGAAGAUUGUUUUGUUUUUGUUCCCAUACAGCCAGCUGUAGUAAUCUAGGAAUCCUCCUAAUUUGAACUAAGGGUGUGUUCAUUCUUUGGGUGUAAAGUUUUCUCGAGUAUUAAACGUAAACUAAUAACAAAACAAAUUACAUAUUCCGCCUGUAAACUGUGAGACGAAUUUAUUAAGCCUAAUUAAUCCGUCAUUAGCAAAUGUUUACUAUAGCAUCACAUUGUCAAAUCAUGGCAUAAUUAGGCUCAAAAGAUUCGUCUCGCAAUUUACAUGCUAAAUGUGUAAUUGGGUUUUUUCCCACAUUUAAUGCCCCAUGCAUGUGUCCAAACAUUUGUUGUGAUGUUUUUGGCCAAAAAUUUUUGGGAUCUAAACAAGGCCUAAAAAUGUAUAUGCGAUUCAGACCCUGUUUGGAUUAGGGACUAAAGUUUUAGUCCAUGUCACAUUGGAUGUUUGGAGACUAAUUAGAAGUAUUAAACGUAGACUAAUGACAAAACACAUUCCAUAACCCUGGACUAAUUCGCGAGUCGAAUCUAUUGAGCUUAAUUAAUCCAUGAUUAGCACAUGUGAUGCUACAGUAAACAUAUGCUAAUUAUGGAUUAAUUAGGCUUAAAAAAUUUGUCUCACCAAUUUGCUCUCAUUUAUGCAAUUAGUUUUGUAAUUAGUCUAUGUUUAAUACUCCGAAUUGGCGUCCAAACAUCUGAUGUGACAGGGACUAAAGUUUAGCCCCUGGAUGCAAACACCACCUCAGUCAUUGAGUUUUCUGUACCUGCACCUGCUAUUUUCUGGUACCCUAUUCGUUUUUAUUCCUAUGAAGUUGCAUGCAGAAACGGUUAGGAGGACUUCUACCUCGACGAGUGUAGCUUCCUAGGAGGAAAGCUGGAGGAGUACCGGAGCGGUCGGUACACUUUGCUCCGGGUUUGGAGAAACUUCUUCUAUAAAAUAAGCAUUCGUGUCCCUUUUUUAUGUUAUUUAAUUACUUUGUCUAAGUAAGAUAGAUUUCUAUCUUUGCGGGUUCAUUGUUUAGUAUUCGUACUAAGUGCUCUAAUACUAAUACUCUGGAUAAAGAAGGAAGUUCCUGCAUAAGUAUUAGAGUUGUAAUUAAUAACUUAGACGUGGUGUCUAGGUUAGAGAUUACCUUUGUUUGUUGUGUAUCCCACGGAUUUGUUAGAGGUAGGCGACAGGAUGGUGAUAGCCCUGAAUUCUAUCCCAGUAAACCUCCACGUUCGGAUACAUCAUAGAGCUAUAACCGGAACCACGCUGGCAGACCAGCAGGGGUCGAUGCCCGAAGCAACAGAUAGGAAAAUACCUUCAGCUUAGCUCAGAUAAUUAAAACACAUAGAAAGUCCUCUCUAGUCUAGCCUGCUUAACAUCAGUUGUUGUUCUUGGAUAGUCUUACUCUUAGGUACAUUACACACGUUCCCUAAGUUCGAUAUCCUUUUGGGGCCAUCCGAAGGUGAAGUGCUACAGCGGUAUUCCGUGCGCUUGCGGAUUUAUCUGUGGUCGUAAGAAAUACCAACACGCGCCUAGACCUUUUGGGCCGGAAGUGCGCACCGGCAAAGCACGCGCAAAUUAGCAUUUGUGCAGAUUUGUCUUGCGAAUUAGUCCAGGGUUAUGGAAUGUGUUUUGUCAUUAGUCUACGUUUAAUAUUUUUAAUUAGUGUCAAACAUUCGAUGUGACGGACUAAAAUUUUGUCCCUGGAUCCAAACAUUUUUUCAGUCAUCUAGUUUUCUGUACCUGUACCUGCAAUUUUCUGGUACCCUAUUCGUUUUUAUCCCUAUGAAGUUGUAUUCAGAAACGGUUAGGUUGGGCUUACAUCAUUAUUGUCCUGAAAUUGGUAAUUCCAUGUGAAAAUUUAGUUGCACAGUGCUUAUGCAUUGCUGGAUGUAAAGUGUGCUUGUGGUAUCUGGUAGCUCAGUGUCGAAACAAGAUUUUGGCAAUACUAAAAGGGGGUGGCUAUCAAGCUAGAAAAGUGGAUGGGUUUGGAGACAAGGAAUUUUAUACAGAUUCAGGCCUUCUUAUUCAAGAAGUAAUACCCUACUCCUGUCCGGGGAUGAUUCCGCUGAGUGUAUUAUUGAUCGUAUGAUCUGGGAGAAAAUCGUGUCCCAAGAGGGACCCGGACCCCUCCUUAUAUAGGGGAAGGGGUCCGUAUUACAAAAUACAGUCCAUAUCCUUAACGGAAUAUGAGAUUACAGAUAAAAUACAAUCGUAACCGACUAGGAUCCCGGGUAUUUCCUUGACAUACAAGUUCAGAAACUAACCCGAGUCCUCAUAAAGAUAUUCUAUCUAUAUUUGGUACCCUGUACCCAACUAGACUAUAACUGCCGUGUAGAUAUGGGGUAUCCAUAAUCUCCACAGUAGCCCCCGAGACCUUUGCAGUUGACGAAAUAGCCUUCUCAGAACAAAAACAAUAAUCCGAGUGCUUCAAUUCUUCCUGCUCUGGCCUGCCGAGUACUAAAAUCAAAGACUGUGAAGGGCGAAAAUAAAACAUGGUGCAUCGAAUAGAUGCACCUAAUUAGGUGUAGCCCCCGACUAUGUGAUUAGUUAAAAAAAACUAGACAUAUAGUCAAGAACCGAGUGGUUUUACAACCAAACAUCAUAUAGCAAAGCACGUGUGGUAUUCAAUAAAACACCCAACCGACUGCUUCUUAGCUUUAAUAUAUCGAGAAUAAAACUAUGAAAAGGCCCAAGCGAUAAACACUCAAAGGGUCCACAAAUAGACAUAUUUGACAGGAAUCCGAGUAAAAACUCUUAAGACAAUCCACCAAAUAUGAUAAAAAUCAUGGUAAUCAACGAGUCUAAUAGCCUAGGCCAUGACCCUCACCAUAACCAAAAUAAGCAUAUAAUAUGCUAAGGGAAUGACUAUUAGUAAACCAGUCAUCUCAAAUCAACCCAAACAGCUUUUGCAGCCUAAUAAAGCUUACAAAAAUAGUAUAACACCUUUCUGUCGGGCACCUUUUUAUUUGCAUCAUAAUAAUUCCAAAGAAUUAUCUAACCGCGUUAAAAAGGAUUUUAGCAGCAUCAGGUCAGGUCCUGGCACUAUUGGAAAAUGAAGCUCUCUCAGUUCAAACAUAUGAGAUUACUUACCCCGGUUUCUAAGGGCGGAAGAGGAAAGUACCAAGGUGCACUAGGUGAGAAGAACUUUUUUCGCUUUUUUAUCGGAAUUUGACUCAUUUUAGUAUAGAAAAACACCAUUCUAUCCGACCUAGUAGGAAAAGUUACUAUUUUGCAUUCCUUAGGGAAAGUGGCGCGCAGACAGCUGACUCCUUUUCAAUAGAAAGGAAUAGCCAAACCUACCCAGCUGGCUGGUCAAUCUCAGUGAUCUUAUCGGCCGGCAAAGCGGAGACGGACGACCACGGUCCCGACCUUACCAGCACUGUAGGUUUACUAAUCAAUGAAGCCCCUCAACCUACUAUCUUUUCUUACAAAACUCAACCAAGCCUAACCAAACCCCAUGCUCACGACAUGUUCUUGAUAUUGAUUGAGUUGGAGGGAGUCAGAGACUACCACGGAAUCCUUCCAUAGUCACCCCGGUGACCUUCGUCACCAAAGCGUCACGACAGUUUCCAAGACCCCUCAGCAGGCAGCUUAUCAGGAUCUGCGGGAUCAUGAGGAAGGAUCAUUUUUCUUCCGUGAUGUGGUUUCCCACAACCGUGAUUUCCUGGAAGCGCAAAGCGCGAAAAGAACGUGGAUUGAGGUGGAACAGAAUUCGCUGUAGCAUUCAAGACAAUUGUUCCUUCUUCGGUCUCCCCCUCCACCCCCUUCGUUUGUUGUGGGUCGCGCUUCGAAGGGGUCUCCUGUUCUUCCAUCAAAUAUUCUGCUUUUUCCCGGGUACUCGGGUUCAAAUACCCACGGAUUUUUUGUUUGUUUACUGGCUUCAUAUAAUUCUGAAAACACAAGUUUUCUUGAAGCCUCUUGCUCAUAUCUCUCAUCAAAGGGUGCGCAUUCGGAACCACACAUUUUUAUACGAUUUUCUGAAGUGCGAAGUGCUCAGAAUAAUCCAGGUCGCUCGACGUAAGGAGAGGAACGAAAUAUCAAUAGAGGAACGAAAACCGAGUCUGAGACCCUUUGGAAUACACGAGAUAAGCCAUAAAGACGCCCAAUACUUCUUUUCAAAGGAAGAAAUGACAACCUUGAAAAAUGGUUGGAGUGGAAAAGCUGAACCCUCUUCCUCCUUACCACUUGGCUAUACUCCAAACGGUCGGUUCCCGGGGAGAGGGCGAAGGGAGAAGCAGUGGGCCUGUAGCUUUCCCCGAUCCCCCCUCGUCGAGUGGUGCUUGUUUGGGGCCACCUGAAAUCGGGCUUGAAGCUCUCGCCUUACCAACGAGCCAACAGAAAUACUCGACCUGGAGAGGAGACCACUGACCAAUCUCCGUCCAUUUUCCCUUGCCUUUCCUUUACGGGUAUGCCAGUUUUAGGGGACAGAGGACUCGAAAUCCUCUUUAGCUUUGCGCGUUGGUCUCUAAAUCCUAACAGAGUGGUUCGAUUCCACCUCAGAACGAUCAUUUUACUUUCGGAGGGCUUGUCUUUUUUCUUAGACUUAAGGGAGCAAGCUAGAAUCCUGCUUUUCCCAAAGAGAGUGGGAUGCGUCUACCAACUUGUCCUCUCAAUUGAAUGUUACCAACUUGUCCAUUAAUAGCUCCGCUCCGCCGAGCCAAAAGGAAAGAAAAGAACAGAACAGCCAGAGGCGAAGAGUAGAGUAUAGCCAAGGGGCUUUCGUCGUCCUGCUCGCCUUUCCUUUUGACGGCUUGGCUUCCUAUCGCUCCUAUGUAGUGGUCGGCCUUAAAAGUAUCUUUGGAGCGAGUGCACCGGAAAAGAAGGGGAACUGAGUCGAUCUAUUCCAUGGCGAAGCAUCCGAAGCAUAACUGCACACUCACACGAUCUUUGCCUAAACCAGGCUGUGCUUUCUUUUAUUUAGUAAGCUCAGCCGAAGAGCACUGGACCGGCAGCACCUGCAAAAGAAACUUGCAUGCCUUUCGCUGCGCGCCUUUAUUUGCUUUGGAAAUCAAACAAUGCAUUUCUAAGGAUCAUGGCGCCCCGGAACGGAAGCAUUCCAUCCAGCAGUAGCAUCUCCUUCAACCACACGAGGACAAAACUAAUGUUAGCUACAUUCGAGCGUUCACCGCAGCAUAAGAAAGAAGGCGCCCCGGCAGGAAUUCUGUAAGCUUGACUUGCGCGCAGCGUUUGGGAAUCAAAGAUAAAAAAUAACUCUAUGGGACUUACGGAACUAGAAAGAAGGUAGCCCGACGGAUAUCCUAAAGGCUAUCCUCUGGUACCUCGGCCCUACGCUAACGCUAGAUUCCGAGGCUUCGGGAUUCCCUCAACUUUGAGGUUGAGUGAGUCCCUCGUCCCCAAGCACAGCGGCUCUUCGAUCUCUAUCUCUGCAUUGCACUCCGAGUAAAGAUAUACCUCCAUUCCUUUUUAGAAGGGUUCUUCCCUAGUUCCGGGAGGAAAGGAAGAGUGAUUAAAACAAGAAGUACCUGAAAUACUUUGUUUAAUUCUACCACUUCUACUAGGAGUAGCCUUUUUAGUGCUAGCUGAACAUAAAGUAAUGGCUUUUGUGCAACGUCGAAAGGGUACCCUAUCUAUCACAUUGAUCCCCUCAAGAUCAUUUUGAAAUAGACCAUUUAUUCGUAAUUACAUUCCCCGAAGGCCUUGAACAAAUGUCUCAUUUAUGGAUACAUUGGGAGCAAAAUUGGAAAAAUCCGCGAGCCCCUUCUCAUAUUCGGAACUGGUACAGUAAAAGCUCUUGUGGGCUCGCUCCUGCUGCUUGACUCGACCGGACGGGAGAGGUUGUUUAAGAG
RNAcentral lists this long non-coding RNA (52998 nucleotides) under Oryza sativa (Asian cultivated rice). Its description in RNAcentral is "long non-coding RNA (OSAT_LNC000161)". The record is from RNAcentral. Lineage: Eukaryota; Viridiplantae; Streptophyta; Magnoliopsida; Poales; Poaceae.